AAUGUCAUCUUUUAAAACUAAAAUACAUGAACCAUGUUAAACCCUUAUUUCUUAGCAGCUAUGUACUUCAAGCAUUACUAUGUAUCGGCUCAAGUAUUACCUGAAUUCCAUGUUGUGGUCGAAGGGUGAGAAUAGGUAUUGGAGAGUGGACAUAGGCAGGGGAGAGGGUAAUUGUGUAACGUUGUAGAAUCAUGGAGAGAGCAACCUUUGUUUCUAUUGUUGCAAAUGUCAUACCAACACAAGAUCGAGGUCCCAACCCGAAGGGAAAAAAUGCAGCCGUGGUGUAAUUGGUAGCUUUGGCAAUCCCUUCAGCGAAUCUCUCGGGUUUAAAAUGAUGCACAUCAUCUCCCCAAAAGUGAGGGUCACGGUGAAGUCCAAUAUUUAAAGGCAGAAUAUCUAUAUUAGCAGGCAAGAGCAGUUUUCCCAACUGAACUUCUCUUGUAACUGCUCUUGCCAGGCCAUUUGAUGGACCAUACAAUCUUAGAGUUUCAUUGAUGAUCAUGGUCAUCUGUUUAGGAAAUAGACAAAUAUGUUAGAUUGCAUAAUGUUGAUGGCUAUUUGAAUUCCCAGUUAGAUAGUUUUCUUACUAUUUUGAGUUUCGCGAUGCCUUCGAGAUGUGGAUUUUGGUUACCAAAUAUGUCAAUCACCUCUCUUCUCGCUUUUUCUUGCCAAUCUCCGUGGAUUGCCAAAUGCAAGACUAUCCAUGCAAGUAAGGAAUUAACAGUUUCUUGUCCAGCAAAAUAGAAUGUUUUGCAUUCAGCUACCACGUCUUCCAAGGAAAGCCUGUUUUUCGCAUCCGAAUCAUGAUAGGCAUUUAGAAGUAAUCCAAGAAAAUCACUGCCAAAGCUAUUGACUUCUUCAUUCACAACUUUGUCUUCUCUUUUCUUAACAAUCUUCAUCACACGAUCUUUUAUUUCUUUUGAAAGUUUUUCAGCCUCUAGCAAAUCAGCAGAUUUCCACAACUUGCUGCAAAAGCAAACCAGGGUCAGCUAUAUAUAAGGAGAAAACCAAAUCAAUGGGGAAUGAAAGUCUAAAAGUUGCAUUCAAAAGCUAGUUGAAAUCAAGGUAAAAGUUGGGAUUAAUUAAGCGUAGAGGGAAGAUACCUGAUCAAAGGAAUUCUAGUCUUGGAAAGAUUUCGACUCAUAAUUACUGUCAACUUUCUCAAGAUGGCAAAUAUCUUCUCCCCUUCCAUGUAAUUGCUACCAAAUGCUGUUCUGGAAAUCACUUCUGAAGUUAAUAACCUAAAUUCUUGGUACACUUCAAUCUCUUUGCCUUCUUGGCCUUUCCACUUUUCUAGCAUUGUUUCAACACUAGCAAUUAUUGCUGGAGUCAUGUUCUGCCCAAACAAUCCUCCUAUAUGUAAGUAGUAGUGACAUAUAUAAUUGUCAACACAAAAUCAUGAUUUCAAAUUAAAAAAUUUGACAAAUAAACACCUUUUCAAACUAGAUUUUAAUCCAAGUCAAUAAGUUAAAAGAGUGCUUUUUAAUGAAAUUAUAUAUUUUUUUAAAUCUCUUACUCAAUUUUUUAUUUUACAACAUUAAGUCUAAAAUUCAACGUCCAUAAUAAAUUUAUCCUUAGCUAACAAUACAAAAUUUUACCAAAAUAUUGUAGUCUAUGUAUAAUUCUUGUAAAUUAAUUACCCCUAGUUUAUAUAUUUGGAAGACUUACCUUUAGGCUUUCCCCAUGGAAAGUGUGAUUGGCCAGCUUUCGAUGCUUUGCCCAUUUUUCCCCCUCAAUGAAUAUAAGCCCAUUCCCCAAGAACUUCCUACCAAUAUCUGAAAGUUUCUUUUUCUGAAAAAUUUGUUCACUAUUUUUCAGAACCUCUUUGACUAAUUCAGGCUCUGAAAUCACCAAUUCAGCUCGAGCACCGUUCCAAUAAACAAAAUUCUUCCCUAAUAACAUGAAAAGAAAAAGGGUCUACCUUUUCUUAGAACUACAAGUUAUAAAUCAUAUUGAAAAAAACAAGCAUGGAUCUUACCAUAUCUGUUGGUCCAGGUGUAAAUAUGUGGCUGUACUUUGGGAAAUAAAUCAUCUGUCAAGCCCACAGAUUUACUUAAAGCUUUUUGUUUCAUUUUGGUAACUUCCUUGUUGUUGCCAUGGAUGAAUCUGUAAGGAGGUCCUUUGAUCCCUUGUGAAUUCAGCAUAUGCUGAAUACGGAGGGGUAUCCAUAGGUAAUCAUAAAGUAACUUUAUUAAAGCUAUGAAGAAGAAGCAACAUGGAGCAAGAAUUAGAAGCAUCAUCAGCGCAUUCAUUUUUCUUCUCUAAACCAGAACCAUUUCCUCCUUUAUUAUAGCAUAAGGACCAAAAUUGCGUUUGCAAUGACGCAAAUGGGUUCGUCAUAUGUUCAGGGUAGGUUGGUCGUAUAUGUGAGAGAUUAAUAUUAUAAAAGCCAAAACACCAGUCUAUGAUGCCAUUCAGGUGGAUAAGUAACAUGUCUAAAUUUUAUACGCGUUCAUUCCUUGCAUUUACUUAUAUCAUAUAUCCCUCUUUUUGGGAAUGAAUAAAAUAAUGAAGCAUUAUUCCUUUCUAACCCUCCAUUCUCACCACACUACUCUUUUUUAUUGUCAAAAUCUUCAUUUUCUACACAGGUAACACGUGAUAACGUAAAUAAACAAAAUAUAAUUUUUAAUAGUAUACAUCUUUAUAAUUUUUAAAGAAUUAAAUUAAAUUUUAUUUUUUUUAAGGAUAAAAUAUAAUUUUACUAUUAUUAAUUUAAGAGCAUGUCCACUACUCUACGCUAUUGUUAAAAACAUCAAGAUUAGAUAUGAAAGUAAAUGUGAGACAUUAUUAUAAGCCAAAAUAUCAGGUCUAUUACGACUUACAAUUAUUGAGGAGGACUGCACUGAUUAUUUAAGUGUUUUUCAUCGUUGUCUUGCAAGUAAAAAUUGCCAAAUAUUAGAAAACAAAUUUUGCUGGUUGCAGCAUAUUUAAGACAUAUAGACGGAUACAAUAUUGUCGGGAACUAUGGAAAAAGAGCAAUAUCACCAAGUGGGUCCGCUUUAAUUAUUAUUUUUUAAAUAGUAUAUUUUUUCUAUUAUUGGCUACCAGGAUUUUUUUAGCCCACUUUAUCAUUUGAAUUUAACAAUUAGGUCUAUUUUAAUCCCUGAACAUACAAAAUUUAAAAGUUUGAUUAUGUGACAUGAUCAUAUAUAUCACUUGAAAAUUAAAAAAUUAUAUAAAAUUUUAGGUGAUGAUGUGCUACAAUCUCACAGUAUCGCAUCUAGUGUUUUAAUAAUCGGACCGGUGGUUAAAAGAUAAAACUAUUGAUUUCUUAUUCAAUCGGUUCGACUGCUAGACCAAUAAUAAUUAAAUAAAUAAUUAAAAAUUCCUAAAAAUCUAAAAAUAAAGUUAAAAUAAUUUUUUAAAUUGUCAAUUUUGACCAAUUUCCGAUUCAAUCAGUUCAACCCCUUUGUUUGGACCGUUAUACCAAUCGCUUUUCAGUUCAGUCAAUUUGACCGAAUGAUCUGAUUUUGUUUCAAUAACACCAGUCACAUCAUCAAAUGUUGAUAGAAUCCAAGUUCAAUGACCACUUGAAUUUACUUGCCAAGUUUAGUUAUAAAAUUGGAAAAAAAUAAUACAAUAUUAAAGUGCAUCUAAUUCCCAAGUUGAGGGCCAAAAAUUAUAUUAUCUAUACUAUUAUUUAAGUCCCUAACUGAAUUGGUGUCGCCAAUUCAGUUAGAGAAAUUACGAAAAUAUUUUUUCAUAAUUAGAAUAAGUUAUAUUGUUCGAGGGUAGUUUAAUCUUUUUAUUUUAAAAAAAAUAAUUAAAAAUGAAUAUGAGGGGAUUUGAACCUAAGACAAUCACAAUAAUAAAACUUCAAGUAUAUCACCAUUAAAACUUUAUUUUAAUAUCGUUUAUAUAUUUUUAUUUUAAUAUGCAUAUUUUAUUAUAUUCAUCAAUUGUAUCUAUACUUAUUAUUAUUUAAGCUCCUAACUAAGUUGGUGUCACAAGUUAAUUGAGUAUUUUAGUCUUUUUAUUUUAACAGAAACCAAUAAAAAUAUACUUAUAGUGGGUUUGAACCCAAGAUUGAUUAUAACACCAUGAUAAACAAUUUGUAUGUUGCUGAGGUUGGAUGAUGCAUUAUGGUGUUUUGUGCCUUUUAUGGCCUAUUGAUCGGUUGAGGCUGUUAUUUUAUUGAAAAUGGCUUCUGUCUUUUUUGGUAUGUUGUGAUUAUAGAAUUGAAUUUGAGUCUAUUCAUUGUGUUAUGAUUGAAGGUGUCUCUCGAAGUGGAUGCUUUGGUGAUUUUAAAGUACGGUUAUCGUCAGUCUUAAGAGCUAUAGUGGGGUGGUUUGAAAGUUUUAUGGAAGCCGAUAUGACAUUGAGUUUCCUUUGAUAUCGGUUCCAUUGAGAUUUUUUCUAGCUGUUGGUCUUGAUAAGGUGUUGCUGGUGUUGGCUCUAUUUUAGGUUUCUUAUCUACUGAUAAGUGAUGGUGUCUAAAGCUUUUUCAAGGUUUGAUGGAUCAUUUUCUUACUUGGGGUGAAGUCCAAUGCUUGCUCGUUGAUUUAUGUAAAGGUUUUUUUAGCAAGGGUGAUCACUAUAGUUAGUUGCUUGGUUCUGGAUUAUGGGUGGAGCCGCUAUUUGUCAUAGUUUCUGAUGUGGUGUUUUCCAUGUUGAGAAGGGUUUCGUAGUAGUGUUUGUUUUAAGAUAUAACUUGCUCUCUCACUUCUUGUUUUCUACUUUGGGCUAUGGUUUUCUAUCAUUAGUAAAGUGUGCUCUUCUUGUGGUGAUGUCAUAUUGGUGUAUGUUAAUUGUGCAGUUCAAUAGAAAUCCUUUAUAGAAAUUGAGUUUCUUGUCAUACAUUGCUCAGUGUGUAGUGGGUUGUUCUCGUCAGUCCAAAAUGUAAAUAGUCAUUAGCUUCAUUGUAUCCUUGAGGUUAAUUUUCUUGGAACUCAUUUGCACACCAAAUAUAGGUGGGGGUGAAUAUAACCUUAAAGAUAGUGACUUGAUACACGCCUUGGAGCCUUGUCCUAUUUCUUUUUUUUGUUCGAGUUUUGUUCGUGUGUUCAAGAUUUUCUUCACCAGAGUUUUGUACUAACAAUUUUAAGGUUCUAUAAUUCAUGAUGACUACCAUAACACAUGAAAGUGGAAUACUAAGGGAGUUGGCUUCCAACUUUGUCAAACUUGAUCGGUUUGAUGGUGGCAAUUUUCGAUGAUGGCAAAAAAAGAUGCACUUCUUAUUAUCAACUUUGAAGAUUGCUUAUGUUUUGGAUACUCCUAAACCUAAAGAGAAUGAUAACUAAUCUGUUGCUACAAUUAUAGAAAAACAAAAAUGGGACAAUACUGAUUACAUGUGCAUGGGCCACAUAUUGAAUGGUUUAUUUGAUGGUUUGUUCGACACCUGCCAAAACGAGGUCAUCGCUAAAGAAUUAUGGGAAAAAUUGGAGACAAGAUACAUGACCGAAGAUGUUACAAGUAAGAAAUUUCUUGUCAGUCGUUUCAAUAAUUAUUAAAUGGUUGAUGGUCGUUCUGUUAUGGAACAAUUCCAUGAUAUUGAAAAGAUGCUGAAUCAGUUCAAACAAUAUGAUAUGAAAAUGGAUGAAAUGAUUGUUGUAUCCUCCAAAAUACACAAACUUCCUCCAUCUUGGAAAGACUUUAAAAGAAGUCUAAAACAUAAGAAAGAGGAAAUAUCUCUUGAGGCUUUGGCAAAUCAUCUUCGUAUUGAAGAAGAAUAUCAAAAACAAGAUCAUAACCUAAAUUUUGAAAAUGCCAAAGUGCAUGUUACGGAGGAAGUUCAAACUACUAAACCAUUGAAGAGAAAGUUCAAACAGACUGAUAGAGCACCUAAGUUCAAAAAGGAACAAAAAGGCUCAUGCUAUCAUUGUAGAAAGCUAGGACAUUUCAAGAAUGCAUGUUGAUUUUUAAGGAAGAAAUCAUCUUCUAAUGCUGAUAAUAACGAAAAGUUCGUUGCAAUGAUAUUUGAAAUUAAUAUGGCACAAGAUGAUAAUACAUAGUGGAUUGAUACCGGAGUAACCAAACAUGUGUGAAAGACAAAAGCAUGUUCACAAAGUUCACACAAUGUGAAAAUGACAAUGUCUUGUACAUGGGAAAUUCUUACACCGCAGCAAUCAAAGACAAAGGGUUUGUUGAACUACAAUUCACUUCUAGAAAAGUUUGAACCUUAAAUGAUGUAUAUUAUGUACCAGAAGUUAGGAAGAAUUUAGUGUCUGAAAGUUUGUUGAAUAAGUUUGGUUUCAAACUUGUUUUUGAGGCAGAUAAGUUUAUUUUGUCUAAGGGAGGAAUUUUUAUGGGGAAAGGGUAUAUGUAUGAGUAUGUUCAAACUCAAGAAUAAAAAUACUAUUUCUGCUUAAAUGGUUGAAUCUUUUUAUUUGUGGCAUUAUAGAUUAGGUCAUUUGAAUUAUAGAAAAUUGAAUGACAUGUAUAAGUUAAAUUUAAUUCAUAUUUUUAAUAAUAAUAUUGAAAAAUGUAAUACAUGUAUGUUGACUAAAAUUACAAGAAACCCUUUCCCUAAGGUUAAAAGGAAAACAAAAUUGCUUGAUUCGAUAAAUAAUGAUUUAUGUGACAUGCAUAAUACUCCUACGUUAGGUGGAGAGAAAUAUUUUGUUACUUUUAUUGAUGAUUGUUCUAGAUAUUGUUAUGCAUAUUUAUUGCAUUCAAAAGAUGAAGCGUUUGAUAAAUUUAAAGUUAUAAAUCUGAAGUUGAACUUCAGUGUGAAUCAUUUAUCAAGUGCUUAAGAUCAGAUAGAGGUGGAGAAUACUAUAAUCCAAGUUAUUUUGAAUCCACUAGAAUUGUCCAUCAAGUUUCAUCCCUUUACACCCCACAACAAAAUGGCGUACUUGAGAGGAAAAAUAAAGUCUUAACUAGAAUGGUAAAUUCAAUGUUAUCAUAUUCAAGUCUUGGACAAUGUUUUUGGGGAGAAGCUGUUCUAACAGCUUGUCAUAUAUUGAAUAGAGUUCCUAAUAAGGAAACUAAAAUAACCCCCUAUGAACAAUGGAAGAAAAGGAAACCAAACAUUAAUUAUUUGACGGUUUGCAGUUAUAGAGCUAUUGUCAAAGUUCCAACACCUAAAUGUAAAAAGUUAGGUGAAAGAGGAAUUGAAUGCAUAUUUAUAGGUUAUGCACAUAAUAGCAAGGCAUAUAGGUUCAUGGUAAUUGAACCAAAUGAUUCAGUUUCAAUUAAUACUGUUAUUGAAUCAAGAGAUGCUAUUUUUGAUGAAAAUAGAUUUAAUUUUAUAUCAAGACAAUUACUGUAACAUCCCUUACCUGUGUCCGACGUCGGGACAGGAUACGAGGCAUUACCUGUCUUAAACAUAAGCAACCAUACAAAACCGGGCCAUAAAAUUUCAUUCAAUUUAAAACUAUUUAUACAUAUACAUCAUCAACAACUCUUAUACUAGCAUAAUUAUAUCUAAUUAACAUACCAUACCAUUGAGUAAAACUUAGCCAUUGGACAUCAAGACUUGCAGCACAUACAACCAUUAGGAAUUUAGGCCAUACCCACAACUCAUCAUGUAUCAUGCAAACGCAACUCACAUCACAAGACAUUGGCAUAUAAUUAAUAUAUAUAGGCUUACAACCAAUUAGCCAAUAUAAGUCAAGUUACAUGGCUACACAUAAAAUCAAACCUUUAACCAUUACAAACCAAAACAUUUGGCCAAAACAUAAUAACUCAUACACAAAAUGACUGAGUCCCUAUACAUGCCAUAAACUUAAAAUGUUUGAAUAUGUUGAUAUCGAUCAAUAGCUUGAUAGUGUGAUAGAAUCUUCGACGAUCUCCAACCCGAGCUAGUAUCUGUGACACUAUAGGAAAAAGAAAGAAAGGGGGUAAGCUAUAUAGCUUAGUAAGUUGGUAAGUAAACAAUAAGAAAUCUGUUAACAUGCUUUUACCAAUCCUCACAACAUAUCUCAAGGUAAUACAAUCAAAAUUGCACAUAGUUGCACUAUUUACUCAUGUUUACAUCAAGCUGUCUACUCGAGUGAUAGUCACUAAAUUAUUUAUAUCUUGUGCUACAGAACUUUAAAUUAAGAUCCACUUGAUUUUACCUAAAUUAUUUAUAUCUUGCGCUACAGAACUCCAAAUUAAGAUCCACUUGAUUUUACCAAAACUAGACUCACAUAUCUUCUUACCAUAAAAUUUUCAAAAUUUUUGGUUUAGCCAAUAAUUACAGUUAAUUCUUCAACUUCAUCCCUGUUUUGCUGUCUAACAGUUCUGACCCUUCUUCUCUAAAAAUUAAUUAUCUCUUAGUACGGAAUUUGAAUGAUAUUCCCGUUUGUUUCUAUUGAAAAUAGACUCAUUAAGAAUUUUAAUCAUAUAAAUUAUAACCCAUAAUUGUUUUUAUACAAUGUUUAAUAAUUUUCCAAAAUCAGAAUUGGGGAUUCCGAAAUCAUUCUAACCUUAUCUCACAAAAAUUCAAAUAUCUCAUAAUAUCAUAUUUUUUUGCUUACACCGUUUCUUCUAUGUGAAACUAGACUCAAUAAUAUUCAUUUUAAUGUCUUAUUCAACCUCUAAUGCAAUUCUUACAAUUUUUGGUGAUUUUUCAAAUUUAUACAACAGCUGUUGUCCAAAACUAUUUUAUUGCAAAUUUUACUCUUUCAUGAUUUCUUUGUAUUAACAUUUAUUUAGACACACAUAACACCAAAACAUAUCCAUAACUAGCCAUUCCAAUAGCUAAUCAUUAUCAUAUAUUUACAUGCCAAUCAUUGGCCAAUUUCACCUAUACAUCAACAACAAAGACUUAAACAUAUCAUGUCUCAAUUUAAUUUGGCCUAAAAGCCUCGCACAAUCAUCAAUCAAAUUUACCACAAAUCUAUACCUCAUAAGUAUAGACCUAUAAUCACAAGGUCAUCACAAUAUCAUUCUUACAAGUAUGACUUACUCAUUUACAUUCUUAUCAAAUGUCCAAAAUACAUUGAGUUCAUUACUCAUGAAUUUUUCGUACAUACCUGUAUCCAUUCAAUAUGAUCAUACCUUGUCUUUUCUUUGACAUAAUCUUUGGAUUACCUGUUGAACCACUUGGAAUACUAAGGAUACUCGGGAAAACUCGUACAUAAUGUAUCGUACAAAUGCCAUGUCCCAGACAUGGUCUUACAUGGAAAUCUCAUAUCGAUGCCAAUAUCCCAGCUAUGGUAUUACACGAAGUCUCAUAACGAUGCUAUAUCUCAGAUAUGGUCUUAUACGAAAUCUCAAAUCAAUGCCAGUGCCAUCUCCCAGAUAUGGUCUUAUAUGGGAUCUCGAAUCGAUGUCGAUGUCAUAUCCCAGAUAUGGUCUUAUACGGGAUCUUAAAUCAAUGCCGAUGCCAUAUCCCAGAUAUGGUCUUAUAGAUUUUCUCACUUCGAUGCCAAUGUCUCAAACAUGGUCUUACACGAAAUCACACCUCGGAAGUCCUAAUAUCAUGAAAUCAUCAUCCUAUACAUUUCCUAAGAUUCAUUCGGAGCUUUCGACUUCGUAAUUAAAUCAAUACAUGCACGAAACCAGUCAUCCAAUGCUCAAAUCAAUUCGGCAAUAUAUAUAUACAUAGACAAAUCAAUUCGACAAUGUAUAUAUAUACAUAUAAAUCAAUUCGGCAAUAUAUAAAACAUAUAUAUUUGAAUUCAAAAAUAUUUAUUUACUUAUGAACUUACCUCAUACAGAAACGAACGGAUCGGAUCAACUACUCGUCAACUUUCGAUUUCCCCGAUCUAAAUCCGAUUUCUUUCUUUGUUGAUUUACGUGAAUUCAAAUUUAACUCAUUUAAUCACCUAUUCAUUCAAUUUCAUCCAAAAAUACCUAUUUGAAAAUUUUUGCACUUUAGCCCCUAAAGUUUCACAUUUAUUCAAUUUAGUACCUAUUUGACAAAUAUACAAAAUUUACACAAUUCAAUAUAACCCAAGCUUAGCCGAAUUACUAUAGUGCCCCUAGCAGACCAAAACUUUUAUUUAUUUCACAUUUGAACCACUCAACUGGCAUAUUUCACAAUUUAUCUCCAUUUGACAUUUUUGCCAAAAAUCACUUUACAAAACAUAUUUAUCUAUCAACAAUUAUUCAUUUUCCAUCAUCAACAUUCAAAAACAUCAAUCUAUCAUCAAUGGUAACUCACAAAUUCAUCAAACCAAUUCAAAAAUUAGGGCAUGGGCUAGCUAGAACAUGAAGCAACAAUCUCAAAAACAUAAAAAUUAUCAAAAACGGGCUUAAAAAUCACUUACACACAAGAGAUUUAUUAACCAAAAGUUUCAAGCUCCCAAAGCCUUCCUUAUUGCUAUAAAUUUUGGUUGGGGAAGAUGAAUAAAGAUGGUGGCUUUAAAUUUUUUUAUUUUAUCAUUAAUUACUUAUUUACCAUUUUACCAUUAAAAACAUUAAUAAUUAUACCAAAUGUCACUCCACUAUCAUACACUAACUCAUAAAUAUCCUAUUUACCACUUAAGGACCUUUACUUUAAUGUUCUAUAGCUCUUAGACACCUUUAGCUUAUAGAACACAACUUUUACAUUUUACGCAAUUUAGUCCUUUUGCCAAAUUAAGCAUUCAAACAGUAAAAUUUCUUGACGAAACUUUUACACAUAUAUAAUCACAUGAUGUAAAUAACAAAAAUAAUAUUAAAAUGAAUUUUUGACCUCAGAUUUGUGGUUUCAAAACCAUUGUUCUAAUUUAACUAAAACCGAGUUGUUACAAUUACAGCCACAACAAUUGAUUCAUUCUUCAAAUGAGAAAAAGAUCCCAUUGGAACAAAUUGAUAAUGAUGAUGAAUAUUCUCAAGAAUUAAGAAGAAGUAAGAGGAUUAAAAGGUCAAAGAUUUUUGGACCAGAUUUCAUUAUGUUUCUUGUAGAAGGUAAAGGUGAAUGUAUAUGCAAUAAGAUACCUUAUUUUUAUAAUACGAAAUCUGAUCCUAUUAUAUUUGAAGAGGCAAUGAAAUCUCAAGACUCUACUUUUUGGAAGGAAGCAAUAAAUGAUGAGAUGGAUUCAGUAAUGGGAAAUCAAACAUGGAUCUUAGUUGAUCUUCCACCAGGUUCCAAACUAAUAGGUUGUAAAUGGAUCUUCAAAAAGAAAAUGAAGGUCGAUGGAACCAUUGAUAAAUUUAAAGCAAGGUUGGUAGCCAAAGGUUUUACACAAAAACAAGGUAUUGAUUACAUUGAUACCUAUGCUCCAGUAGAAAGAAUUGCUACAAUUAUCACUUACCUUUAUAUAUUAAACAAAGUCCGUUAGGACCUUAUCUUACCCAUUAUCAUGUGUGGUCAUAAAUGUACAAAUAGGGAAAAUUUAUUAAUUCAAGUUUAUUGAACUACUCAGUUUUUAAAUUUGAAAAAUUAGUUUAUUUAUAAUAUAAUUUUAGAUAGGGUUUAAGUAUUUUUGGGUUAAAAUUUUUUCUGACUAAUAAAAUAUCGAUUUCUUAAUUUCAAAAUGCACGUUAAAUUCUCUUAUUUGGAGUUCAAGAACUCAAAUUAUGGAUUCCUCGAGAUUAGUCACUUGACCUUUCAAAGUCGACAGCAUAUCCCUCGAUCUACUAUCUUUUCUGCCCCUCUCAUGGGUCUCUCUGGGUUCAAUCUGCUCUUUUACUCCUUUUUUCAUCUCAACUAGUAGCUUUAAAACUUAGUCCAAUACCAAUUGUCACAGAACAAAAAUUUGCAAAACACACAUACACAUACACAUACACAUUAAUACAUUUCCCAAUUACCUAAACUGAACACACACAUACACAUUUAAAUCCAUAUCAUAGCGGAGUCCUCAAUACAGUUACCAAGGCUUAACUGAGGGUCGAAACAUACAGAAACACAAAACGAGCCAAAUUUUAACACAAAACAAAAAUUUCCAAAACAGAGCCACACGGCCGUGUGGGAGUGACUAGGUCGUGUGGAGGUCUACUAGGCCAUGUGGUGGUUUACACGCCCAUGUGCAAGCUACACAAGCUCGUAUGGAGGAGACACAUCAGUGUGACCGAGUUACAUGGCCGUGUUGAUAAUCCGCGUAACUCAUUGUCCAAAAGUGUCAAAAUAAGGAGCAUAGUAGACACGCUUGUGUGGGAAUCUCACAUACCCGUGUGGCUAAGGGACACGACCGUGUGUCGAAGGCACAUGUCCAUGUGAAAAAUGAAAAAAUCCCCAAAUAGCCACCACACGACCGUGUGGCACUAAAAAACAUCCAAAAUCCCUAAUUCCCAAUGUUACAUGACUGUGUGGACUACCCAUGUGCUACACACACCUGUGUGCUGCACACACUCGUGUGCCCACCAGUAUGGUCAUGAAACCACAUUGAAACAAGUUGAAAUCGCAAUUUUGCAAUAGCAAAAUGAACCCUAAUCACAAACCAUUCAAGACACAUAAGAAUUUUGUAGAUUUUCCCAAAAUCCAGCAGCAAUUCAUUACUGAAUUCACAUAAUUUUAGAAACACACUAGAAACUGCUGAAUUCCAUAAAAUCCAACAGUAAUUCAAUACUGAAAUUAAACAGUUUCAAAACACACACCUGAAUGAUGUUUUAGAGCACCAAGAAUCGACCACUUGGCCUUUACUCUAACAACCUGAAACUCAGUUCCGCAAACAUACUAAAGCUACAAAAAUUUCCGACCUAAACCUUAUAUCAAAUUACCAAGAAUUAAUCGCAUAAACCUAAAUACAAAAUGAUCCCUACACUCACCCGAUUCGACGUCUGAUCAAACGAAGAACAAAAGCACCACUAGUAUUUGAAGGCAGUGGUUUACAAAAGUAUUGAAACCCAAUAAAAAAAGAAAGAAAAUCAAAAUCUAUAAUUUUUAUUUACUGGAAGAAGGAGAAAGACUGAUGUGAAGAGAAAGUGGAAAACGUGAGAAAUUUUUGGGAUUUUCUUCUAUUUUUUUCAAAUAAAAAAUCUAAAUAAAAAUAAGUUAACACAAAAAGAAAAAAAUUUAAAAUAAAACUUCCUUUAUUCUCACAUCGGGAUUCAAACACUAGACCAAGGCAAACUAGUAACAUACUCUACCACCAAAUUAGUAAACUCAUUUUGAUGUUAAAACGCGAAAAUAAACCCAAUUGUUCAACCUACUUGCUGACCUUCACUACAAACCUCAAAACUUCUAACCCCAAAUUCCAAGAUGUUACAAAACAAGGUUAAAAUAUGUUACUUUUAGCACUUAUCAUAAAUUGUUAAUCUAUGUGCUUGCUUGAGGGAGACGGUUGUACGGUCAAAAUUUUGAUAAUGCUUAUUUUUUUAUUGAACUGAGGACUGUGAAAGUUGAAUUGGCUUGGGUGAUUGUGAUAUGUUUAGAUGAUGAAUGCAAGAAAUGGCUUGGAUGAUUGUGAUAUGUUUAGAUGAUGAAUGCAUGAAAUGUUUAAGGGCAAGUAUUGAUUAAGGGGGGUGAUAAUGUUCUUAAUAGAUAUUUUUUAAUGAUUUAUUCUGAUUAAUUUUGGACAUGGAUGCUACUACUUUGGUACUUUGUUGACUAUUUUCUAUAUAAAUAUAGCACAUGUUCGAAGUGUUAGAGUACAAUAUAAAAAAGUAAAUUUAUAGUUGGAUUGAGAAGUUGACAUAUAAGACAUUUAAAAUUUAGGAUUAUUUUAUUUUUUAUUUUUAUUUUUAUGGAAAAAUGUUUCUCUUUAAGAUAUUAAUGAGGAUUAAAUUUUAUCUUAGGGAAUGAGUAAAGGCUUCUUAUAUUCUUAAGCUUGUCUAUUAUUAUUAUUAUUAUUAUUAUAUAGUAAGGCGUGAAGAGAGGGGGCACACGGUACCCACCAAAUUUUUUUUUUUUUGCUUCAUUCAAACUAAUCUGUUGUAAAUACAACAAGAACAACACUUAAAGAAACAAGUUACAAAAUACCACAAUGAAACAUUUCCUACAAUCGAAAACUAAUAUUCAACAUCAAAGCUAAUACUCACUAACAAGCUUUGUAACAGCCUAAUUUUUAGUAGUGUCAGAAUAGUGAUUUGAGAUCACUAAAAUUGAUGAAAAAGUUAGAAAAAAAAAUUAUUAAUUAAUAAUUAUAAGUUAAGCGUGAUUUUAGAAAUAUUUUUUAAAUCAGUGAAUUUUGUGAUUUAAAAGAAAUUAUUAGGUAAAUUGGGUCGAAAACGAGAUAUCGAGACCUCGAUAUUAUAAACUGAGCCGUAAAUAUUUAUAAAAAUAUUUACGGAGUGUCAACAGGAUAAUAUUAAAGUUUCGUUAAGAAAUUUUAACGCUUUGAUAGUUAAUUAUGAAAAAGGACUAAAUUGAAGUAAGGAUAAAAGUUUAAUUAUAGAUUAAAGAAAAGUUAAAGGACCAAAUAGGCAAUUAUGCCUUUUUUCUAAAGUUGAGGCGGCAUAACAAAAGAAAAAUCUAAGAUAUUUUUAAUUUAAAAUAUAUAUUAUAUUAUACAUGCGUAAGUAAUAAUUAUGUUUUUAUAUUAUAUUAUUAUUAAUAUAUUAUAUUAUAUUAUAUUAUUAUAUUAUUAUAUUAUUAUAUUAUUAUAUAUAUGACAAAGAAAGAAAGAAAAGAAACAGAGAGCAAAACAAAACAGAGAAGGGAGAAAGAAAGAAACAGAGAGCAAAACGAAACAGAGAAGGAAGGAAGGAAAGAGAGAAAAGAAAAGAAAAGAAAAAAGGAAAUUUGAGGUUUUAAGGUUCAAAGUAAUUUGGUAAGUCAAUUUAAUCCCCUUUUCUCUUAAUUUUGAUAUUUUUUUUGAAAUCCUAGAAUAAAAUACUACUUGAUUUAAGUUGAAAUUUUGGAAGUUAGUAGAUUAUUAAGCAUGGUUCAUGUUGAAUAAAUUGUUAAAUUAGGGAUGUAUUUGAUAGAAAUUUUGAUUGGAAUUGAAUAAAGGAUUGAAUUGUAAACUAAACUAUAAGUUUUGAAUUUUAGGGAUUAAUUUGAAAUAAAUUCGAAAUUAUGAAAACAUGAUAAAAAUUAAAUAGUUAAAUAUGAGUUUAGCAAGAAAUUGGGUAGAAUAAGGGUAUGAAUUGAGAAAGAAAAAUAUAUAGGUUUAGUUAGGGGUUAAAUUGAUUUAAUUUCAAGUUAGAAGUUAGUAAAGAAUGUAAUUGUAAAAUAAAAUAUAAGUUUUGAAUCGAUAGGGAUUAAAUUGAAAGAAUCCCAAAAUUAGGGAUUUAUGGGGAAAUUGAAGAAUUAAACUGAGUUUAUAGUAAGAAUUAAGAGAGAAUAUAGAGUUAGAAUGCAAAAAUAAAAUUAGUAUUGAUAAGGGAUUAAAUUAGAAUUUGAUGUUGCCAUAGAAGAGAAAAAUGUUCAGAAUGUUAUAAAACAUAAGAAUAAGAGAUGAAGUUUAAUUUCCGGGCCUUGGGGCAAAAAUGUAAUUAUGUAAAAGUUUAGGGGCAAAAUUGUAAUUUUGAAAAAGUUAGAGUCGAGGGCUAUUUUGAUGAAUGUGAUUAUUAAAUAAGUUAAAUUUACUAUUUUAGAUCAAGAAGUACGAAACUCGAGGUUAGACAAAGGGAAGAAUAAAGUUGAAGACUAAGUUGGUGAAUUUGGCUAUAAUUGGUACCGAGGUAAGUUUACGGUAAAUAAAUGCAAUAUUUCAAUAUUUAUUAUUAAUGCUGUUAAUUUCCAGCAAUUAUGAAUUUAUUUUAUGAAUUUAUUUGAUGAUGAUCCAAGCAUGAAAUGAUAGAGAAUUAAAAUUUAAAAGUCCCGUUGAUACAUAAGGAUGGUACUGGAUACGAAUGUCAUGACAUUUGGGUAAAGAGAUCCCAUGUAAGACCAUGUCUGGGACAUGGCAUUGGCAUCCUUAAGAUCAUGAGAGGUCCCCUGUAAGACCAUGUCUGGGACAUGGCAUGGGCACCGAGACGAGAGGUCCCAUGUAAGACCAUGUCUGGGACAUGGCGUUGGCACCGAGAUGAGAGGUCCCCUAUAAGACCAUGUCUGGGACAUGGCAUGGGCACCAUCACGAGAACAUCCCAUGUAAGACCAUGUCUGGGACAUGGCUUUGGCAUGUUAUUAUCAGAAGAGACCCGAGUAUCCUUAUUAUUCCCAUGUAGUUCAACGGGCUUGUAAACGAAUCAUGUUCAUGAAAGUUCAGUUUAAAGCAUAAAUGGCAAGCUCAGGUAAGUUGUAAGACUUAAGAACUUAUUAUACUAUCAAUUGAUGUUCAACGAUGCAGCAAGGAUUGAGUAAGUUAUGCACACAAAUAUUCUAAGUAAACAAGUAAGAGAACUAGUAUGAGAUUAACUAAAGAGUAAACUAGAGAUAUAGACAUUGAGUUUAAUUAUUUAAGUUAAAUAUUGUUAUUUAUUUGCUAGUAAACUUACUAAGCUUUAUGCUUACUUAUUUUAUUUCUCUUUCUCUUAUAGUAUUGCAAAGCUACUUCAAGGAUCCUAAAGAAGUCGGAGAUCGUCCACACUAUCAACUACAACUGCUCGGUAUUUUAUAUCGAAACACGUUUAAGUUAUGGCAUGUAUAGGGAUUUAGUUAUUUUGUAUGUUUGUAGUGAUGAUUUUGCUAAUGAGUGAUGUGUAAGUAUUUGAUGAUGUAUGGUUAUUAAAAUGAUUAAGGAUGAAGGUGUUUGUUGUUAUGAAAGAUUAGGUGAUAAAUUAUGCAUGGAAAUCAUGAAAGGAUAAAAUUUUGCAAAGAAAUAGAAUUCAGGCAGCACAGUGACGUGAAUUUGAAAAAUCACCCAAGAUAGUAUAAAAUGAAUUAGAGGGUGAAUGAUAUGUGGAAUUAAAGCUUGUUGAGUCUAUUUUCAUGGAAAAAUAACGGUGUAGAAAAAAAGGAAUUUAUAUUUUAAGAUAUGUGAAUUUUAGUAAGAUAGGGUCAGAACUGUUUUUUGGAGUCCCCUGUUCUAAGUUUAGAAAAUAAUUACAAAUUGUACAAAAAUGGUUAUGAGUUGAAAUUUACAUGCUUAGAUUCCUUAAUGAGUCUAUUUUCUAUAGAAACAAGUAAGAACUUCAUAUGAAAAUCCUAUAGUGAGAAAACUUAUUUUUAGUGACUAAAGGUCAGGGCAGUCUGGUGGUGACACAGGGGAGACUUUAACUAAUAAACUGUACUAAUUUGCUGAACCAAAAAUUAUAAAAAUUUUAUGGUGAGUAGAUAUAUGAGUCUAGUUUCAGGGUAAAUUUACAGGAUUAAAUUUCGAGUUCUUUAGCUCAAGUUAUAAAUAAUUUAGUAACUGCUGCGCGAUUAGAUAGAUUUGCUCCGCAUUGGUAAGAUAAGCUAAGUAAUGCCUCGUGCUCGACUCCGGAAACGAUCUCGGGUAAGGGGUGUUACAAGCUUUGAACAUGUCACCACGAUUAAUACCUGCUAUUGCCAAGGUUGAAGCCAUUUCAUUACGUUUUUGAUCUGCCAUCGAGAAUACUACACUACCAACCUGCUCAAUUUUCCUCUCAAUAACUGAAAAUGUUGUUUGUAACAACCACGGUCUCAUAUCCUUGUUCAGACACCAAUUGUACACCAUUUUUGAACAAAUUUCUACAAUAAGAGAGCUAUUAAUCUUCCAUCCCAUGGAUAAGAACAAAUCCAAUGCUAUAAACACUACCCCUACCUCUGUUGAAUUUGUGUCAUUAGCUACAAUAGGACCCGAAAAUAAAGCUCUUGCAACACCCUCUAUAUCUCUUAGUACUCCACCACAACCUGUAACUUCCUCAUUUUCUAUCCCACAUACAUUGAAACUUGGAUAGCCUUGUGGAGGAGGGCGUCAUAUCGACGAAGAGGAUUUGGUUUAAUUGUAUCAAAUUUGCACUUGUUCGGACAAAUCCACCAAGAGCUCUCUUGCACCAUUUACUCAUCAUAUAUAUACAAACCUUAUCCACAACUUUGCCCUCAUCUUGGAUUGAAAUAUCAAAGCUUCCAUAGUCGUCACCUUUCUUUCGAAGACAAUUUCAUUUCUUGCUAUCCACACUGACUAGCAAGCUAUCGAAAUCGAUAACAACCAUAAACUUUUUCGGGCUCCUAACAGUUUCACGUUAUAACACAAAGAAUAAAAAUCAGCAAAUCCUUCUAUCGAAUUCCAUUCAACCUCCCACCAUUUGAAAAAUUUAUACCAGAACCUUUCAAUAUAUUUCCAUUUGAAGAAUAGAUAAUAUGCUCUCUCUGGUACUCUUUCACACUAUGGACAUUCGAUCGAAAUGUGUUGAAGCUACACCACUCUUUUAACGAGAAAUUCCUUUGUAGGAAUUCUAUCAAUAGCAAGCAUCCAUAGAAAACUUCACACUCUUGGUGGUGAAACCAUUGUUGCUCGAGUAAUCUGCUACCAUACCUUUCUUUCGUCUUGCUAAGCGGAACACUCUAGGAAAUUCCAUUUUUAGUGGUUGACUACAGGACCAAAUAUCCUCCCAAAACACCGCCAUCCUUUCAUUCCCAACCAUCCAUCUAAAAGCUUCGUUCCCCACCCAUUUAGAACCAUUAGCGUCUUUAGAAUUUUCUACAAUACCUCUCCAUACAAUCGACAUAACUUUUAGAUUAGUCGUCCUAAAGUGCCAUUGUUGCGGGUGCGAACCAUACUUUGCUAGGAUGAGUUUUUGCCACAAUGCAUCUUUUUCAACCGCGAAUCUCCAACUCCAUUUUUCUAAGAAAGCUCUAUUUUUAAUUAUGAGAUUCACCACUCCCGCUCCUCCCUUCUCCUUUGGCUUACAUAUAUGUUUCCUGCUUGCCUUCGCCAUCUUCCUUUUACCAUUUAUACUCCCCCCCAAAGAAAAUUUCUCCUUAUCUUGUCGGUCCUUUUAAUAACUGUCACUGGAGCUUGGAAUAUACACAUGAAAUAAAUCAACAAGGUAGAUAAAACAACAUUAAUCAACACAAUCCUUGCAGCCCACGAGAGCAUAUGGCAUUUCCAUCCCGAUAAUUUCUUCCUGAAUCUCUCUACAAUUGCAUCCCAAGUGGAUACUCUCCUCAGAUUUGCUCCCAAUGGAAUCCCUAGAUAAUUAAAAGGCAAAAAUCUUAUCUUACACUAACAUAUUGUAGCCAUUUGAUAUAAGAGUUCUUCAUUCUCAUCAAAUCCUACUAAACAUGAUUUUUUGAAAUUGAUACUAAGACUUGAAAAGAUCUUAAAACACCGUAAAAUAUACUUAUCAUUUCUCACGUCUUCUUCAUCUCCUCUCAAGAAUAGUAUAGUAUCGUCCACGAAUUGUAAAUGAGAAAAAAUCUGCACGGGAAUAACAUCUUGAAUGCCCUAAAUUAGCCCCAUCUCCACUACUUUAUCCUUCGACAAAUAUAGCACUUUCGUCACUAGGAUAAAUAAAAAUAAAGAUAACAGAUCUCCUUAACGGAGACCUCGGCGGAAUCUAAAUUAAUUUGUGGUUGACUCGUUGAUAAUUAUUGCUACUCUCACCAUAGAUACACACUCCAUAAUCCAUCCUAUCCAUUUCUGGCCAAAUCUCAUCUUGAGUAAAACUAACUCAAAAAAAUCCCAACAAACACAAUAAUAUGUUUUAGAAAAAUCCAGUUUAAAAAUCAGAUUGCCCCCAUACCAUUUUUCUUUUUAAUCGAAUGGAUAAUUUCAUUUAGAAUUAAAAUUUCAUCGAAUAUUUAUCUACCUCUGAUAAAUGCACAUUGUGUUUCUCUCAUUACCUCUCCAACAACCUCCCUAAUUCUUCGAGAUAACACCUUUGCCACUAUCUUGUACAACGAGCUCUCCAAAAAAAUUGGUCUAAAUUCUGAUAUUUUAUUUGGAUUUUUGGUCUUGGAUAUGAGUGUAAUAAAUGAAGAAUUGAUGCUCCUCUCAAGCUUUCUAGAUCUAAAAAAGUCUAGUAUCAUUCUAAAAAGUUCAUUUUUUACAACAUCCCAACAUUUUCUAAAAAAAGCACAUAUUUAAGCCAUCCGACCCAGAUGCUUUCGACUCAUCGCAACUCCACACUGCCUUUUUUAUCUCCUCCAACGAAAAUGGCAACUCCAGUUUCAAAGCAACCUUAUCAUUUAACUAUUGUUUUGAUCUUAUUUUAGUGUUUUUUAUUUCAAUUAAAUAUUCUCCUUCAACGAUUUUCUUUUCUUGUUUUUUAAUUUAUGAGAAGUUAAAUUUAACCUAGUUUUAGAUUGAUAAUUGAUCCAAUAUUUGAACGGUGAAAUUUCAAAAUCGUGUUUAUAUUCUCCAUUUCGGUAUUUGUUAAUUCUCCAAUUUAAAAGAUAAACUCAAUUACUUCUCAAUGUUAUUUUAGCAUCAAAAUCAAGAAGAGUCCCUUGGUUUAGUGUUGAAGGACAUACAGUUAGAGAAUCAAUGUGAUUGUAAUUGUUGUAUUAGAUCCAUUGAAGAACAAAUUGACAUGAGUGGUUGGAUCCAUCAAGGAAGUUAAUAAUUAAUUUUAAAUGACUCAUACAAUUGAGGUCGUUGAUUUAAGCCAGGUUCUUCUAGUUCGUAAGGCUACUAAUGAAUUAAAUCACGAAUGCUGCUUUCAAGGUUAUUCACUUUAUAAGGCUUAGUCGUCGAGCUGUUCCAGCAAUUAAUUUACCACUAUGAAAGAAUUAGGUGGUUUGAGCUUGUUUCUUGGUAUCUACAAUUGACUUAUUAAUGAAGGAAAAAAUUCAUUCUUUGUGAUUAGUUUGAAGACAGAGUCAAAAUCGAGCUUCAAGCUUGAAGCUAGAGCUUUUGUUUUAUCGGUUUAUUCAAUUUUAAUUUUGUUUUACUUAUUUCUACUUCAUUUUCAUUAUUAAUUUAUAUUUUUUGUUUACUCGUUUUUCAGAUUUAAUUCCCUUUUGUUUUUCGUACAAGUUGGCACAAGUCAUGGGCAUAAAAACUGCUUGGGACAUGUUCUAGUUAUAAAGAAAUAUAGAUUUAGAUAGAUUAACCUUUGUGGGAUCGACCCUAUUCUAUAUACUAAAAUUUAAUUUUGGUUUCAAGCGUAGGAAUUUUUUUUAGUAGAUUCAAAUCCCGUCACGGAAAACAGAUCUACAUCUAUAUUGCUUUGCCCAAAGUUUAAUCCGCUAACAAGCCUUAGUAUAACCACUAGUUUAAGAAAAAUCAAUCUGAGAUUAAUCAAAUAAUAAACACAAGAUUGGAUGCACAAAAUCCUCAAAAAUAUGCAAGUAAGUAAUCAAAAUAUUUUUUUUUUCAAACAUGCUGUUGAGAUCACAUGUUUAAGAUUACUGCCAUUUAGUUUUCUGUUGCUAAGUUUGAAUAAUUCUCCUUUACUUUAGGAGCUUAGUUUUACGAUUUGUUUGGUAUAUUGUUACCAGAUUCUUAGCAGAUUUUUAGAACCUUUUUUUUCUAUUUUUAGUCUUGAAUUUUUUAUUUAAAUCGUUGAGGUGCAAAUCAAUUACCAUUCCAGUCUUCAUUUACUUUCUAUCUUAAAACUUCCUUUUCUCUUCUUUCUAGUUCAAAUCUCUCAAUCAAUCAUCAAAGUUCGAGUUCUAAUCACCAACAAAUUAGUAUCGGAGCUAUUUUCUUAAGGGAUAUAUGAGGUUAUUUGCGUGUUAAGAUGGAAGGAGAGUCUAGUUUUUCAGUUGCUGCACUACCAGUCUUCAAUGGAGACAAUUUCCAGAUGUAGGCAGUUCGUAAGGAGACUUGCUUGGAGGCUUUGGAUCUUUGGGAAGCUGUAGAAGCGGAUUACGAGGUCCCACCACUUCCAGCAAAUCCUACUGUGGCACAGAUUAAAGCAUAAAAGGAAAAGAAGACAAGGAAAUCAAAGGCAAAAGCUUGCUUAUUUGCAGUUGAGUCUCAAAUGAUUUUCACACGAAUAAUGUCUCUGAAAUCAGCAAAGGAAAUCUGGGAUUACUUAAAGGCUGAGUAUGCAAGAGAUGAGAGGAUUUGUGGAAUGAAAGUCCUAAAUCUAAUCAGGGAUUUUGAGUUGCAGAAGAUGAAGGAGUCUGAGUCAGUGAAAGAAUAUUCUGACAGACUUCUCAGCAUUGCCAACAAGGUGAGAUUGCUUGGUUCUGAGUUGAAUGACUCUAGAAUCGUAGAAAAGCUGCUGGUCACUGUUCCAGAGAAGCUUGAAGCCACCAUUACUACUCUGGAGAACACCAAGGACCUGUCAAAGAUCUCUCUUGCAGAGCUCUUGAAUGCUUUACAAGCACAAAGGCAAAGAAGAUCCAUGAGGCAAGAGGGAGUGAUAGAAGGUGCCUUACUUGUCAAGCAUCAAGACAACAACAGGUAUAAAAAGAAGAAAAAUUUUAGGAACCAGUCGACGAGUAGAGAAAAUUCAUCAGGCAAUUAUCAGAAGAGCAAAAGAGGAGGUGUCAAGAAAUCCUACCCACCUUAUCACCAUUGUGAGAAGAAAGGUCAUUUACCAUUCAAAUGUUGGAAAAGACCUGACGUUAAAUGCUCCAAAUGCAAUCAACUUGGACAUAAAACAGUGGUUUGCAAGGUCAAAGGCCAGGUGCAAGAAGUAGAUGCACAGGUAGCUGAUCAAGAAGAAGAAGAUCGAUUGUUUGUGGUUACUUGUUUCUCAGGCAGAGAAUCAAGUGAGAGAUGGUUGAUUGAUAGUGGGUGCACAAAUCACAUGACGUAUGACAAGGAGCUCUUCGAGGAAUUGAGAAACACUGAAGUCAAAAUAGUGAGGAUUGAAAAUGAUGAGUACUUGGAAGUCAAGGGAAAAGGCGCAGUAGCUAUUACAAGCUAUAAAGGUACAAAAUUCAUUUCAGAUGUUUUGUUUGCACCUAAAUUGAUCAAAAUCUCCUCAGUGUUGGUCAGUUACUGGAUAAAGGCUAUAAAGUGCUAUUUGAGAAUAAGCAAUGCUUGAUCAGAGAUGCUAAUGGCAGAGACUUGUUUAAUGUCAAAAUGAAGGGAAAAUUUUUUUAUCUUAAUCCAAUGGAAAAGGAGCAAAUGGCUUUUAAAUCCAGAGUUAGUGCCACUGAGACUUGGCACAAGAGACUUGGGCACUUUCACCAUCGAGGAUUGCUUCAAAUGCAGUCAAAGAAGCUGGUAGAAGAACUUAUAGACAUUGAUGAUGAUCUACCUCAUUGUCGAUCUUGCAAAUUUGGGAAACAACAUAGACAACCCUUUCCUAAACAAGCCUGGAGAGCCUCGAAUAGCUUGUUCAUACCGAUCUUUGUGGUCUUCAGAGAAUGCCAUCGUUAAACGGUAACCUCUAUUACAUAGCCUUUAUUGAUGAACAAGAAUGUGUUGGAUUUUCUUAUUGAAAUAAAAAUCAGAAGUUGCUGGUGUGUUCUGGAAAUUCAAAACCAAAGUUGAGAAUGAAAGUGGAUGCAUGAUUUAGAUUUUAAGAUCUGAUAAUGGCAAGGGGUAUGCUUCAGAAACUUUUAAUAGGUUUUGUGAAGAGGCUAGAAUUGAGCAUCAGUUGACGGUGCCAUACACUCCAUAACAAAAUAGAGUCAGUGAAAGGAGGAACAGAUUCAUAAUGAAGAUGACUCGGUGUAUGCUUUAUAAGAAGAAUCUUCCAAAAGGCUUUUAGGAAGAAGCUGCAAACACUGCUGUGUUCUUGCAAAAUCAGAUUUCAACAAAAGCUGUGAAGGAUUAGAUGCCAUUUGAAGCUUGGUAGGGUUACAAACCUUAUUUAAAGUUCCUUAGAGUGUUUGGUUGCCUGUGUUUCACUUACAUUCCACAGGUCAAGCGUGAUAAGCUUGACAAAAAGGCAGAAGCUGGCAUUUUUGUUGGGUAUAGCACUGUAUCUAAAUCUUACAGAGUAUUUCAACCACACACUGGACAUGUUAUUGUGAGCAGAGAUGUUUAUUUUGUUGAAAAUGAGCAAUGGAAUUGGGAAGACUCGACCAAGACGAACCAAGCUUCUAGUGCACCAGAUCAUUUUACCAUUGGCAGCACAUUAGAGGAGCUUGAAGAUGAAGGGCAAGAUGUUUUGGCUGAUGAUACACCUGUCAGAGGUACAAGGCUGCUUUCCGACAUUUACCAAAGAUGUAACGUAGCUAUUUGUGAGCCUGCAGGGUAUCAUGAUGCAAAAAACAGUCAACAUUGGAUGGUUGCAAUGAAGAGGAGCUUUCGAUGAUUGAGAAAAACAAAACUUGGGAGCUGGUUGAUCAACCUUUGGACAAAAAGAUAAUUGGAGUAAGAUGGGUGUUCAGAACGAAACUAAAUCCCAAUGGUUCAGUUAACAAAUUCAAAGCAAGACUUGUUGUGAAGGGAUAUGCACAAGUCUUUGGAGUCGAUUAUUCAGAAACAUUUGCACCUGUUGCCAGGCUUGACACUGUAAGGUUACUGCUUGCUCUUGCUGGACAAAAGAACUGGAAAGUUUUUCAGUUAGAUGUUAAAUCUGCAUUCCUAAAUGGAGUCUUGCAAGAAGAAAUCUUUGUCGAGCAACCUGAAGGUUUUGUAAACAGAGGCAAUGAAGACAAAGUUUACUUGCUGAAGAGGCUCUGUAUGGCCUAAAACAGGCUCCACGAGCAUGGUAUAGCAGAAUUGAUGAUCAUUUGGUGGGCAUUGGCUUUCAGAAAAGUCAAUCUGAGCUCACACUAUAUGUAAAGCAUGAAGGUACAAACACUUUAGUCAUUUCUCUUUAUGUAGAUGACUUAUUGAUUACAGGCAGCAAUCUCGAUCAAGUUAAUCAGUUCAAAUUGGAAAUGAAAAAGGUCUUCGAAAUGACAGAUCUUGGUCUGAUGUCUUAUUUCCUUGACAUUGAGAUCAAACAAUGCCAAGAUGAAGUGUUCAUCUGUCAAAGAAACUAUGCAAAGGAGAUACUUAAAAAAUUUCUUAUGGAAUAUUGAAAAGCAAUGAGCACUCCUAUGAAUAAAAAAGAGAAGCUAAUCAAAGAUGAUGGUUCUGCCAAAGUCAUUGAAGCUGAGUUUAGGAGUUUGGUAGGUUGUCUAAUGUACUUAACAGCAACCAGACCCGACAUCUUGAAUGUUGUAAGUAUUCUCUCUAGAUUCAUGCAUUGUCCUAAUGAGACUCACAUGAGAGCUGCAAAAAGAGUUAUCAGAUACAUCAAGGGGACCUGGAGUUAUGGAGUGAAGUUUUUAAAGCACAGGGAAUUAAAGUUAAUUGGUUUCUCUGACAAUGAUUAGGGUGGCUCAACUGAUGAUAUGAAGAGUAACUCUGGUUAUUGUUUUUGCCUUGGAUCAGGCAUGUUCUCUUGGAGCUUGAAGAAGCAAGAAAUUGUAGCUCAAUCCACUGCUGAGGCAGAAUUUGUGGCUGCAACAGCAACAGUUAACCAAACUCUCUGGUUAAGGAAGAUUCUUGUUGAUCUAAACAUGGAGCAGAAGCAAAGCACAAAGAUUCUAGUUGAUAACCAAGCUGCCAUUGCAAUCUCUAACAAUCCAGUCUUUCAUGGGAAGACUAAGCAUUUCAACAUCAAGUUAUUUUUUGUUCGAGAAGUUCAAAAGAGUGGUGAUGUGUCUCUCUGUUACUGCAAAUCUGAAGAUCAAAUUGCAGAUAUCUUCACCAAACCAUUGCCACUUAGCAAGUUUGAAAGCUUCAGGAAGAAACUUGGAGUUUGCAGCAUCUAAAUAAAGAAAGUGUUGAGAUCACAUGUUUAAAAUUGCUGCCAUUUAAUUUUUUGUUGCUAAGUUUGAAUAAUUCUCCUUUACUUUAGGAGCUUAGUUUUACGAUUUGUUUGGUUUAUUGUUACCAGAUUCUUAGCAGACUUUUAGAACCUUUUUUUUUUCUAUUUUUAGUCUUCAACUUUUGUAUUUAAGUCAUUGAGGAGCAAAUCCAUUAUUAUUCCAGUCUUCAAUUACUUUCUAUCUUAAAACUUCCUUUCUCUUCUUUUUGCUUCAAAUCUCUCGAUCAAUCAUCAAAGUUCGAGUUCUAAUCACCAACAUAUGCUAACAAAAAAGAGAAGUUAUGUGAUCUGUACGUGUCAAAUUCAGUUGUCAUUUCUUGAGUCACUGUUCCCAAAACUUGCCUCGACAUAUUCUUCUUUAUUGAUUGUGUGUUUUACCAUCUUGGAAAUAAGUAGCUACUUGCAUUUCAUUAUGUAUGAAGGUGGGCAUACUAUAGGAUAGGGAAGGGGUUGCAAAUGCUAGAACCUUAUACAUAUUAAAUGUCACCUUUUAAAACUAAAAUACAUGAACCAUGUUAAACCUUUAUUUCUUAACAGCUAUGUACUUCAAGCAUUACUAUGUAUCGGCUCAAGUAUUACCUGAAUUCCAUGUUGUGGUAGAAGGGUGAGAAUAGGUAUUGGAGAGUGGACAUAGGCAGGGGAGAGGGUAAUGGUGUAACGUUGUAGAAUCAUGGAGAGAGCAACCUUUGUUUCUAUUGAUGCAAAUGUCAUACCAACACAAGAUCGAGGUCCCAAUCCGAAGGGAAUAAAUGCAGCCGCAGUGUAAUUGGUAGCUUUGGCAAUCCCUUCAGCGAAUCUCUCGGGUUUAAAAUGAUGCACAUCAUCUCCCCACAAUUGAGGGUCACGGUGAAGUCCAAUAUUUAGAGGCAGAAUAUCUAAUUUAGCAGGCAAGACUAACUUUCCCAAUUGUACUUCUCUUGCAACUGUUCUUGCCAAGCCAUUUGGCGGACCAUACAUUCUUAGAGUUUCAUUGAUGAUCAUGGUCAUCUGUUUAGGAAAUAGACAAAUAUGUUAGAUUGCAUAAUGUUGAUGGCUAUUUGAAUUCCCAGUUAGAUAGUUUUCUUACUAUUUUGAGUUUCGCAAUGCCUUCGAGAUGUGGAUUUUGGUUACCAAAUAUGUCAAUCACCUCUCUUCUCGCUUUUUCUUGCCAAUCUCCAUGGAUUGCCAAAUGCAAGACUAUCCAUGCAAGUAAGGAAUUAACAGUUUCUUGUCCAGCAAAAUAGAAUGUUUUGCAUUCAGCUACCACGUCUUCCAAUGAAAUCCUGUUUUUCGCAUCCGAAUCAUGAUAGGCAUUUAGAAGUAAUCCAAGAAAAUCACUGCCGAAGCUAUUGACUUCUCCAUUCACAGCUUUGUCUUCUCUUUUCUUAACAAUCUUCAUCAGACGAUCUUUUAUUUCUUUUGAAAGUUUUUCAGACUCUAGCAAAUCAGCAGAUUUCCACAACUUGCUGCAAAAGCAAACCAGGGUCAGCUAUAUAUAAGGAGAAAACCAAAUCCAUGGGGAGUGAAAGUCUAAAAGUUGCAUUCAAAAGCUAGUUGAAAUCAAGGUAAAAGUUGGGAUUAAUUAAGCUUAGAGGGAAGAUACCUGAUCAAAGGAAUUCUAGUCUUGGAAAGAUUUCGACUCAUAAUUACUGUCAACUUUCUCAAGAUGGCAAAUAUCUUCUCCCCUUCCAUGUAAUUGCUACCAAAUGCUGUUCUGGAAAUCACUUCUGAAGUUAAUAACCUAAAUUCUUGGUACACUUCAAUCUCUUUGCCUUCUUGGCCUUUCCACUUUUCUAGCAUUGUUUCAACACUAGCAAUUAUUGCUGGAGUCAUGUUCUGCCCAAACAAUCCUCCAAUAUGUAAGUAGUAGUGACAUAUAUAAUUGUCAACACAAAAUCAUGAUUUCAAAUUAAAAAAUUUGACAAAUAAACACCUUUUCAAACUAAAUCUUAUUUCAAACUAGAUUUUAAUCUUUUUUUAAAUCUCUGAUUUAAUCUUUUAUUUUACAACAUCAAGUUUAAAAUUGACCUCUUAAGUAGUAAACGGUGUUAAAUUUUUCAAAAGUAGGUUUUUACUACACUUUUUCAACGUCCAUAAUAAACUUAUCCUUAGCUAACAAUACAAAAUUUUACCAAAAUAUUGUAGUCUAUGUAUAAUUCUUGUAAAUUAAUUACACCUAGUUUAUAUAUUUGGAAGACUUACCUUUAGGCUUUCCCCAUGGAAAGUGUGAUUGGCCAGCUUCCGAUGCUUUGCCCAUUUUCCCCCCUCAAUGAAUAUAAGACCAUUCCCCAAGAACUUCCUACCAAUAUCUGAAAGUUUCUUUUUCUGAAAAAUUUGUUCACUAUUUUUCAGAACCUCUUUGACUAAUUCAGGCUCUGAAAUCACCAAUUCAGGUCGAGCACCGUUCCAAUGAACAAAAUUCUUCCCUAAUAACAUGAAAAGAAAAAAGGUCUACCUUUUCUUAGAACUACAAGUUAUAAAUCAUAGUGACAAAAACAAGCAUGGAUCUUACCAUAUCUGUUGGUCCAGGUGUAAAUGUGUGGAUGUACUUUGGGAAAUAGAUCAUCUGUCAAGCCCACAGAUUUGCUUAAAGCUUUUUGUUUCAUUUUGGUAACUUCCUUGUUGUUGCCAUGGAUGAAUCUGUAAGGAGGUCCUUUGAUCCCCUCUGAAUUCAGCAUAUGCUGAAUACGGAGGGGUAUCCAUAGGUAAUCAUAAAGUAACUUUAUUAAAGCUAUGAAGAAGAAACAACAUGGAGCAAGAAUUAGAAGCUUCAUCAACGCAUUCAUUUUUCUUGUCUAAACCAGAACCAUUUCCCCCUUUAUUAUUGCAUAAGGACCAAAAUUGCGUUUGCAAUGACGCAAAUGGGUGCGUUGUACGUUCAGAGUAGCUUGGCCGUAUAUAUGUGAGAAAUUAAUAUUAUAAAAGAUAAUAAAUUCUUUCUUGUUUUUUUUUUUUUAGUAAGAGUAGAUUUUGAAGCUAUUUUUGCAUUUCUACUUCUUGAAAAACUUUCUCCCAUUAUUUUAUUCAUUCUGUCGCAUUUGUUUUACUUUGAAUUUGGAUUUAAGUGAGAAUUUAAAUUUAAUUGAAUUCACUGUGGUCUUUCUAUUUGUAUCCUUCGAGUGGCGGAUUUUGAAAUUUCUAUUGGGAGGUCGAAAUUAAAUUGUAUAUUUUUAUAAUAAUAAAAAAAUAAAUUUAUUAUUUUAAUGGUCUAUAUCUUUGUAAUUUUUAAAGGGUUAAAUUAAAAUUUUCUCAUCAGUAAUAUUUUUUUCACGUAAUUUUAAUUGAGAUCUUAUUCUGAAUACUGUAGAGUUAUACUCACUGUUUUAAAAAACUUGCAACUUCAGUUGCAUCCAACCAUAGCAAGCUUUAGAUAGAAUUACCAUAUUCUAUUGCUCAAAAAUAGAUCUUUCACAGUUAAAUAUUUUGCUUUCAACCCCUUAAUGGGGAUGAUGACAAAAGAAGAUUACAAAGAUAGUCACAAUAAAUUCAUUUUAAUAACAAGAUUAAUUAAUAACUCAAUCCUCCCUUUUUUUUAAUCCUUUUAAAAUAGAUAUUUAUAGCAAUAAUGAUUCAUAUGAAAUAUAAUUUUUUCCUCAUUUACAAUCUCAAUAUGAGAUCCAUUACAAUGAAUAUCUUUUAAAACCUAUGGAUUAAUUAUCACAAUAUAUUAAUAAAUUAGCUCUUCUGGAGCUGUAGACUAAUUUUGUACUACAAAAUAUUUGAAUAAUAUUUGUUUAUUUCAGUACCAAAUAAGAUAAAUAUUUUAUAUCUGUAAUAAUAGAAUUCAUUUCAACAUUCUCAUAUCAUUCCUCAAAAAUAUUAACAGAAACAAAAUAUUUGAUAUACGUAUGUGGCCAAUAAUAUUUCAUAUCAUAUCGAUAACAUAAGUUAUCUUUACCCUUUGAAGAGUUAUCUUUAGAACUCUCAUUGUUCUCUUAUUUAUUACUAUGUUCCCACUUUUAGUGGUCUGUGAUUAUAUAUUUUAUUUUCUUUAUGUUUGUAUUCAUUUCAAGGAAUGCAACAAAUCUAGUAGGACAUACUUCUAAAUGCCUCCAUUGGUUUUUUUUAUUUCAUAAUCACCAUCACAAACAUGCAUAGAUUUCAAAACAAAAUCUAUCUAUUCAUGUUGUUAUGAUUAGUCUUCAAUUAUAAUAAAUAUGAUAUAAUAAAUUAUAACAAUAUAUACCUGAGAUUCUUUAACAUCAUUGUUACCACCCUGGCUAUUAUCACGAGCACUAUUAAUUACAAGUAGUAAAACAAUUUGUUUUCGUAAUAACAUUUAUAAUCUAAUAGUAAAAAAAUCAUUUAAUAAACAAAAUCAAAAUGUUUGUGUACAAUGCUUGAAAGUUAUCUAAUACACAUUGUACCAAAUUUCAAUACCACAUAUAUGUUAUAAAGUCUUUUGAAGCUUCUAAUCAAAUAUUUAUAAAUUUAAUUUAAAAGAUAUAAUACAACCAUUCAACAUUAGAAAGUUAGUAAGACUCAAUAGAUCAACUAUGGUAGGUUAAUAACACUUUCCACUAUAAUUUUAAUCAAAUUACAAGAAUAUUUAAUGACAGGAAUUUAACAAUCAAAUAUUUAAACAUCUAAAUAUUAUUUUAGUUUAAAAGAAACCUUAAAGUAAUAAUACUUUUUUUCAUAAAAUAAAUUUUCCAAAAAUCAAUAAAUAAAGGAGAAAAACAUACCACGGAUUAUAUAAGUUUCUUUGCAUAAAAGGACAUAAAUAAAAUUUAGAGAUUUAGUGUACCUAAUUGGUUAAAAGCUCUAAUGAUUACCCAUAGUGUGCGCAGCAGCUCUAGGAGGCAAUCGGCAACAAUAAAUUUUUGGAUAUUUUUGUGACUUAUGGAGAAAAAUAAUUAAAAAGAGAAUCGUGCUAAUAACGUGUUAUAAAAUAAAAGACAAAGAAUAAAGAACAAGGAGAAUGAGAAUGAGAGUCAGAGAGCAAAGAGAGAGCGUAUUUUAUUAAUGACUCAAUUAGAAUAUUUACAAAGUCUACUUCUAAUGACUAUUAUAAUUUAAAGUACAUCAAAACUUAUAUUAGUCUUGAUGGACAUCCACUUAGUAAUAUAUUCAUAACACUAUUUAAAUAGUGACAUUUUUAAUAAUAAUUAUAACUAUUUAUUAAAAUAAUCAUAUCUCUUAAUUAUUAAUCGAUAGAUACAAUUAUAAUUUUUUUAAUAAUUAUUAAUCAAUUGAUAGAAAGAGUCAAAAGUUGGUUGCUGAUUGUUUUAAUAAAUCCAUCACUCGUGUAAGUUUAUUGUUAUUAGUGGAUACUAUUUCUAGGAGUUGUUGGUAGCAUUAAUUUCUAUUUUUCAACUAUAUUUUUAGCUCAUUUAAGUUUGAAAACAGUUUAUGCAAAAUUAAGAUUAUAUAUCAACUUUUACAUUAUUAUAAUUAUAUUCUUUAAAUUUAAAGUUGGAAUAAAUAUAUUCCAUUAUCAAAUCUAUUGAACAUCUAAAAAAAUUUAAUGAACCAAGAAAUUUUAAUUGAAAUAAAAUAUUAAUAGUUUUACAAAUUUCAAGUUAGGUCACAUAACUACAAAUUUUCAAAAAUAAAAUGACCAAAUGUGUAAUUUAUUUAACUACUAUAAUUUUUUAAAAUAUAUAUUAAAGGUUCUAAAAUAUCUAAAAGGUUUUCUUUUUAAAAAAAUCAAAAAAUAUGAAAGAAGUAAAAACUCUUUGAAAUUCAAUAAAAAGUAAAGUGAAAAAAAAUUGAAGAUUAUAAAAGUUUCUCAAAUUUUGAAGAAAUUUUUUAUUUCAUAUUUAAAAAAAUUAUGCAAUGUGAAAUAUGAAAAAAUAAAGUUGUACUUCUUUCAUAAAAUUAUUUUUCAUUUCUAAAAAUUAAUUUUCUAAAGAAAUUAUUGAAAAAUUAUCGUGAAUUUGCAAUUUACUCUUUUAUUUUUAUUUUUAAGAAUUUUAUCUUAUUUUUCGAAUUUAAAAAUGUAAGUCUACUAGAUAAUACUGCUAAAAUUCUUUCUUUAAAUACAAAUAUUUCACAAACAUCAUAUUUUGUUACAUAACUAUUAAAUUAAUAAUUUCUUUUAAUUUUAAAAUAAAACAGUUAACAAAUUUAACAAUAUUAACGAAUAAAUAAAUAGGAUGAAUAACUAUUUAAAGCCAAAACUUACAAUUAACGGCGUGUAACUAUGUUGAAAAUAAAAUGGCCUUGGCGCCAUAGAGACAACGUAUCGUGGCAAACACUAGAAUCGGCAUCUUUACCACGUGGGUCGAUUUUAACACGUUUAUUAUUUAAUGAUAUUUUUUGAAUUCUUCUGGAAAUUUAGUUUUUUUUUUUUAUACUUUUACUGUCAAUAUAAUAAUUAAUUUUAAUGUAUUUAAAUAUUUUUUAAGUGUUGAUUGAGUCUUUAACUCAAUUGAUAUGGGUAUGUUGUCAAUGUAGGAGGAUAUGCACUGAAGCGCAUUAUCUUCCUUUUUAUGAGUUUGGGAGCGGUUAUGCUUAGUUUUAGAUAUUGUGUUAAAAAAAUAUGAUCAGAACUUAUAAUAAGAUUAUUCAAAAAGUUAUGUCAAAAUUUAGUUUAAAUUUUCUAUUAGGAUUUUAUCAUUCCAAAUUUUGAAUUGGACAAAUCGUUUUACCGUUCAUUUUCAGGAUUCAUGAUUAUCCUAUUUAAUUAUGUCAUUUUCAAUGUUUGAACGUAUAUUAUUUUCUUAAAAGUGUGAAAUGUAAUAUAUUUGAGGUUUUUAAAAAGAAUUUUUUUAAAUUUAAAAUAAAUUUGAAAGAAAAUCAAAACAUGAUAGAACAUUGAUUUUAAAACUUGAAGGUGAAUUAGAUAAGAAUAGUGGUGAGGAUGGAGAUUUUAGAGAGAGAAUGCUUCAUUAAAAAAUAGUUAAUUCAACUCUUAAUAAUUAGGCUAAUUAUUGUUUAUUAAUGAAAUGUAUUCAACAUUGAGUGAUGUAUUAUAAAAAUAUCAAUUUUUAAAAGAAUUUUUUAUAAUAUUUCUUUAUAAAAUAAUAUAUAAAUAUUAAAAGUUAGUGUGAGAACAAAAUGAACUCUUAAGAUAUUCUUUUCUAAUUAUAUCAAUUUUUAUUAUUAAUUAUUUCUUUUCUACACCCAAGUGAUCUAUUUGUUUAAAAAGUCAGAAUUUUUUUUAUGAUUCUAUAUCAUGAGUUGCGAAAACUUCUAGAUAGAUAUCCUACAUCUAAACUAAAUUCUUUCUAAUUAAAGAAUUUCAUUCUAGGUACUCUUGAACAAUUAAGAGAUUCUCUAGAGGAAAUACGAGGUUCUGCUUUUGGAGGCAACAUUAUGGGGUGGUGUUCUUGCUUAUGGGGUUAAAUCAAUAUGAUUUAAGAAGAAAUAUUUGAAUAUCAAUAUCAUCGAUAUCAUUGAUCUCAUAAAUAUCGUACCAAAUCUCAUCAAUCGAACCAUUAUUUUGAGAGAUACGAGAUAUCUAAGUCAUACAAGUAAAUAGAUCUACUUAUUGAUAAGAAAAAAAAACGUGAACAAUGAUUGGAUUGAAGACGAAAUAGAACCCUAUGAAAUCAUCUUUCCGGCGAAGUUUUACAUGAAGAAGGUUUGCCUGAACAUUACGGGUACCUAGCACUUUUUUCCAUCAAAAGUUUCUCCCCUUGAUACUGCAAUUAUCAUUCCACCCAACACUUGUUCGUUACUUUUUGUUAAUAUAUUUUAUUUGGAUAUCCUAUCUUAGCUAUAAGCUUGUUAAACAACUUUUUAAAAAGUAAAUUUUAUAUUAUAGAUAAUGUAAGCAGAACCAAUCUGAAGAUUAUCAUAACCUUAGCCUCACACAGUCACUUAACACACACUAACCUUUUCUUUCCGAAUGCUAUAACAACUCUCGACCAUCUUCCAACUGAAUGCUUAAAUGGGCUAGGAAUAGCAAAAAAUAUAGUUUAGGAAAAGAAAACAAAGCACCAAGGUGGAUUAGCUUAAGUAGUCUGUUAGAACUAAAUUUAUCAGAAACUUGCAACCUCAUUGCUUGCUAGAGUGACUUUAGGAUGAUAACACUGCAAUUCAAAUGAAAUAUGAGCAGAAUGGUGAAGUAAAAUGCAUUAUAAUAUAACUGUUUACUUGCUGGAAUAUGCGCCAUAUGAAGGAUGUAUUGUUUAAUCACAUGUUUUACCAUCUAAGGAAACUAGCAAAUGCAUAGAUUUCUUUUUGUUUAGAGGAGGGCGUAGCUUAGGAAUAGGGAAGGGGUUGUUUAUACUAAAAACCUGUUGGAAACGUGAUGGGCCGAAAAUUUACUUUUUAUUACACACUCAAUAUAUUACAAUACGAAGAUUACAAAUAUUUUCUCAAUGACUAGAUAGUCUAGCUGCUGCUAGAUUUUAACUCACUCAAGGUUUGCUAACCUUCUCACUCUCACUCACGUUGCUUCUCUUAUUUCUUUUUUCUUCUCAUUUUUCUUUAUUACAACACAAGUUCAAGCCUCUAUUUAUAGGCUGAUAAAGUGACAACAAAUGUGGCUAUUAAUCCACUUAAUUUCCAGCCACAAAACAUCUCAAUAAUGGAGCACUUUGUAUGGCUAAAAUUUCAGCACUUUGCAUGGCACAAAAUUGCUCCACGUCUCAUGCUUCUAGAUUAUGCUUGGAGUGGGUUUGAUUUCUAACACUCCCCCUCAAACCCAACUUUCAUACCGAGCUUCUCUUUGAAUUUGUUGAAUGUCUCCACUUUCAACGGCUUUGUGAAAAUAUCUGCCAGUUGAUCUUCUGUCCUGCAAUGGACCAACUCCACGUUUUUGUUUUUCACUUGCUCUCGGAUAAAAUGAUACUUCGUAUCGAUGUGCUUGCUUCGGCUGUGCGACACCGGAUUCUUGGCAAGUGAUAUAGCGGAUUUGUUGUCAACGUAGAUGGUAAUUGGACCUUCAUUUGAAACACCUAUUUCUCCCAAAAUAUUCUUCAACCACAUUGCUUGGCAUGUACAAGUUGCUGCGGCCAUAUACUCUGCUUCACAUGUUGAGAGAGCAAUUGUUUGUUGCUUCUUUGACGACCAUGAAAAAACUACGGAACUGAUGUGGAAUGCAUAUCCGGAAGUGCUUUUCCGAUCAUCCAAGUCUCCCCCAUAAUCGCUAUCUGAGUAGCCAACUAAUUUUGAAUCUUGUGAGUGGGUAUAGAAUAAACCAUGGUUCAUCGUACCUUUGAUAUAUCUCAAAAUUCUUUUUGCGGCAAUUAAGUGGUCUUGCUUCGGCUUCUCCAUGAAUCUGCUCACCAAUCCUACUGCAUAUGUAAUAUCUGGUCGUGUGAUUGUCAAAUACCUUAAACUUCCAACGAGACUUUUAAACAACGUCGGAUUUAUCGACUCCCUUGUCGAAUCAACACUUAGCUUCAUCCCUGGAUCAGCUGGCGUGACUACUGGCUUGCAAUCCUUCAUUUUGAACUUGUUCAAAAUCUGCUCCGCAUACUUCUUUUGAGAGACAAAAAUUCCAUCUUGCAUUUGUUUCACCUCGACUCCAAGAAAGUAUGACAUCUCACCGAUAUCUGUCAUUUCAAAUUCUUUAGUCAUAGCUUUCUUAAAAUCAUCAGACAUACCUGGAUUGUUUCCGGUGAAGAUCAUGUCAUCCACAUAUAGGCAUACGAUCAUGAUAUCUCCAUAUCCAUUCUUCUUUGUGUACAGGGUGUGCUCGUGCGGGCUUUUGAUGAAUCUAUUUCUUCGGAAGUACUCGUCGAUCCUUGUGUUCCAUGCUCUUGGGGCUUGCUUCAAUCCAUACAAAGCUUUCUUCAAUCGGUAGACUUUGUCCUCCUUUCCUUGUAUGCUAUAUCCAGGUGGUUGUUCUAUGUAGACUUCCUCCUCCAAGUAGCCAUUCAGGAAUGCAGACUUGACGUCCAUCUGAUAGAUUUUCCAUUUGUAUUGUGCUGCGACCGCUAUGAGAAGCCUAAUUGUGUCUAUUCUUGCGACUGGAGCAAAUAUUUCAUCAUAGUCCACUCCUUGUCUUUGCUUGUAGCCUUUGGCGACUAGUCUUGCCUUGUAUUUCUCUACUUUUCCUUCUUUGUUGGUCUUCGUCUUGUACACCCACUUGACACCAAUCGGGCUAUGUCCUUCUGGCAGACUUGUUAGCUCCCACGUGUCAUUCCUUCUUAUUGCAGCAAUCUCCUCGUCCAUGGCCUUCUUCCAUUUAUUGUUUUCAAUUGCUUCUUCGUAUGUCACUGGAUCACAUUCUGUCAUUAGACAGAAUAGUGAAUAAUCGAACUGCGUCUCUACAGGUUCCGUAGAAUUGUAGAUGUCGUUGAGACUCCGUGUUCUUGUGGGUGCUUCAUCUGAGCUGCUGCUUCCGCUGCUGCUGGUUGGUGACGAAGGGGCUGUUGUACCAGGACUUUGAUCAUCGCCUUGUUCUUCUUGGUUAUUGUCGUCUUCGUUGAAAAAUAAUCCUUCCACUUUCUUUUCUUCUUCACUCCAUCUCCAGUAAUCCGCUUCAUCGAACUCGACAUCUCUUGAGAUAAUCAAUUUCUUAGUAAGAGGAUUAUAAAGUCUGUAGGCCUUACUUCUUUUGUCAUAGCCUAUAAAGAUACACUUCUCUCCUCUAUCGUGUUUACCUUUUAUCAUGCUUCUUGCCAUAUCCAGAAUUGUCCGAUUCUUCCUUUCUGCAACUCCGUUUUGUUGUGGAGUGCGUCUGGCUGUUAACUGAUGAAUGAUUCCAUGAUCCUUGCAGAAACUUUCAUAAAGCUUUGCAGUAUACUCGCCUCCUCUAUCGGAUCUGAGUAUCUUCAAAUAUCGACCUCUCUGUUUUUCCACCAUUGCUUUGAACUCCUUGAAUUUUUCUAGGGCUUCCGAUUUUGCUUUGAGAAAAUAAACCCAACAUUUUCUGCUAUAAUCAUCAAUAAAAGUUAGGUAGUACCUGUUUCCACCGAGUGAUUCAAUGUCGUACGGACCAGAUAUGUCGGUGUGUACAAUUUCCAAUGGUCUUCUAGCUCUUCGAGAUUUUCUUACUUCAAAUUUCUGCCUAUGCUGCUUUCCUUUGACACAGGCUUCACACAGUUGAUCUGGAUGAUUAAUACUUGGUAAUCCAUUCACCAUAUUUGUCUUCGACAACAGCUUCAAGCCAGAAAAUCCGAGAUGUCCGUACCUUAAGUGCCACAACCAUGAUUCAUUCUUCAGAUCCGUCUUCAUGCAUUUUACUUCUCCAGACUCGAUGUCGAGGGUGAAAAGACGAUUUCGCGUCAUAUCAACUCGAACAACUAAUUCUUCACUUUUGUUCCUGAUGGCGAGUGAGCGGUCUUUCAUAUGAACUUCAUAUCCUUUUUCUAGGAGUUGACCAAGACUGAUCAGGUUGCUCUUCAAAGCUGGUACGUAGUAAACGUCUGAGAUGUACUUCUUCUCUCCAUUCCUUUGUGUUAUAACAACCUUGCCCUUUCCUUUGAUUUCUGCAUGUGAGUUGUCUCCAAAAGUUAUUUGUCCAUGAACUGUUUCAUCUAAUUCUGUGAACAGCUCCUUUCUUCCACACAUGUGGUUGCUUGCACCGUUGUCGAGAUACCACACACUUCUCUUGCGAUCUUCAUUUUCUCCGUAAGUGAGAAAGACACUUGAUUCCACUUUUUCGUUGCCUUCUGCUGCGACUGCUACAUGGUUUCUUUCAUCCACUUUGUGUGUUGAUCUGCACUCGUAACUGAAAUGUCCAUACUUGUUACAGUUGUAGCAUUGUACCUGAGAUUUAUUUUCUUGAAAUCUGCCUCGGCCACGACCUCUAGAUCCACGUCCACGGUUGGAUGUUUGAUAAUCUUUAUUUUCUUGAUAUCUCUCAUAUGAUUGAUUUCCACGUCCUCGUGAUCCUCUUCCUCCUCUGUUUCCACCACGGUAGCCUCCACGGUAUCCUCUGCGGUUUCCUCUUCCUUGGUUAAAGUUAUUACUUGUUUCUCCGUCGUCGACGGACAACUUGCUAUGCAAGGCUUGAUUAAGAUUUUCACUAUCUUCAUUUAGCUUCAUCUUUUGCUCAUGGGCUUGCAGAGAACCCACAAGUUCUUCGAGCGACAUCUUUGACAAAUCUUUUGAUUCUUCGAUGGCAACGACUACGUACUCGAAUUUGCGUGUGAGUGACCGUAGAAUUUUCUCCAUCACUCUUACCUCGUCAAGAGUUUCUCCAUUUCGUUUCAUUUCAUUUACCACCGAUUUUACACGAUUGGCAUAGUCAUCGAUAUUCUCGGAGCUCUUCAUUUUUAACAUUUCAAAUUCAGCUCUAAGUGACUGAAGGCGUACCUUUUUAGCUUUUUCUACACCUUGAAAUGAUUUUUGCAAAAUCUCCCAUGCAUUCUUCGCGUUCUUCACAUCUGAUAUUUUCUCGAAGGUUGAUUCAUCCAUACCUUGAAAGAUACUAUUCAAGGCCUUUUGAUCCUUCUUUCGUGCUUCUCGUAACGCCUUCUUAGCGUCAUUUGAUAAAGCUGCUUCUGUAGCGGCAUCUCCGGGCUCGAUGUAUCCUUUUUCAACGAUCUCCCAACAAUCUUGCGAACCGAGCAAAGCCUUCAUUCGAAUGCUCCAAUUUCCAUAAUUUGUCUUCGUCAAUUGUGGAACUUGUAGCUGAAUUACGUCGCCCAUAUCGACUUGUUAGAUGAACACCAAAGGUACUCCGAACUGGACACGAACCGGACACGAACCGAACUCCGAACCAAGCUCCGAACCGUAGCUCUGAUGCCACUUGUUGGAAACGUGAUGGGCCGAAAAUUUACUUUUUAUUACACACUCAAUAUAUUACAAUACGAAGAUUACAAAUAUUUUCUCAAUGACUAGAUAGUCUAGCUGCUGCUAGAUUUUAACUCACUCAAGGUUUGCUAACCUUCUCACUCUCACUCACGUUGCUUCUCUUAUUUCUUUUUUCUUCUCAUUUUUCUUUAUUACAACACAAGUUCAAGCCUCUAUUUAUAGGCUGAUAAAGUGACAACAAAUGUGGCUAUUAAUCCACUUAAUUUCCAGCCACAAAACAUCUCAAUAAUGGAGCACUUUGUAUGGCUAAAAUUUCAGCACUUUGCAUGGCACAAAAUUGCUCCACGUCUCAUGCUUCUAGAUUAUGCUUGGAGUGGGUUUGAUUUCUAACAAAACCCCGGAUAUCUUAAAUGUUACCUCUUAAAGGUGAAUGUUGUAACAAACAGAGUUGAAUCCCAUGUCCUUAGCUGUUGUGUACAUCAAUCAUUGUUAUGCAAUGGUUCAAGUAUUACUUGAAUUCCAUGUUGCGGUUGAAGGUCGACAAUAGGCAUUGGUGAGUGGACAUAGGCAGGGGAGAGGGUAAAGGUGUAGCGUUGUAGAAUCAUGGAGAGCACAAUCUUCGUUUCUGUGGUUGCAAAGGACAUACCAACACAAGAUCGAGGUCCUAAUCCAAAGGGAAAAAAUGCAGCUGCAUUGUAAUUGGUAGAUUUGGCAAUCCCUUUUGCAAAUCUCUCUGGUUUAAAAAGAUGCACAUCAUCUCCCCACAGGUAAGGGUCAUGGUGAAGUGCAAUAUUUUGGACCAGAAGAUCUAUGUUAGAAGGCAAGACUAGUUUUCCCAGCUGCACUUCUCUUGCAACUCCUCUUGGUAGGCCAUUUGAUGGACCAUAUAAUCUUAGAGUUUCAUAAAUAAUCAUAGUCAUCUGUUUGCAUAACAGGAAUAUGUCAAAUCAAAUUAAAGAAUAUAAUGUACUAAAUGCAUAGUAUUUGUUGAAUUUGCAAUUGCGAUAAACAUGACCUGACUAAAAAACCUGAGAUUGAGAUACAAAAUAUUUUGGAAUGUUGGACAGUAUACUUACAAUUUUGAGUUUAGAAAUGCCUUCAGAAUCUGGAUUUCGGUUACCGAAUAUGUCAAUCACCUCUCUUCUAGCUUUCUCCUGCCAAUCUCCAUGGGUUGCUAAAAGCAAGACUAUCCAUGCUAGUAAGGAAUUAAUAGUUCCUUGUCCAGCAAAGUAAAAUGUUUUGCACUCAUCUACCAAGUCUUCCAUUGAUAGACUGUUAUUAUCUUUCGAAUGAUAGGAAUUUACAAGUAAUCCUAGAAAAUCAUUACCAAAACUAUCAGCUUCUCCUUUCUUAAAUUUGUCUUCCCUUUUCUUAACAAUCUUCAUCACACAAUCUUGUAUUCCUUUUGCAAGUUCUUCUGACCUUAGCAUAUCAGCAGGUUUCCAUAACUUGCUGUAAAAAACAAACCAGCUGUGUCAACCAUAUAUAAGGAGAAAACUGAAUCCAUAUGGAUAAACAUCCUAAAAUUUGCAUUCAAAAACUAGUUAAAAUCUUGGAACAUACUUGAUGAGAGGAAUUUCAGUCUUGAAAUUAUUUCGAUUCAUAAUUACAGACAACUCUUUCAACAUGGAAAGGAUCUUCUCCCCUUCCAAGUAAUUGCUACCAAAAGCUGUUCUGGAUAUCACUUCUGAAGUCAAUAAUCUAAAUUCUUGAAACACUUCAAUCUCUUUGCCUUCUUGGCCUUUCCAUUUCUCUAGCAUUGUUUCAACACUUGCAAUUACUGCUGGUAUCAUGUUCUACCCAAACACUUGCAAUUAGAGUUUCAUAAUAAUCAUAGUGAUCUGUUUGCAUAACAGGAAUAUGUCAAAUCAAAUUAAAGAAUAUAAUGUCCUAAAUGCAUAGUAUUUGUUGAAUUAGCAAUUGCGAUAAACAUGACCUGACUAAAAAACCUGAGAUUGAGAUACAAAAUAUUUUGGAAUGUUUGACAGUAUGCUUACAAUUUUGAGUUUAGAAAUGCCUUCAGAAUCUGGAUUUCGGUUACCGAAUAUGUCAAUCACCUCUCCUCUAGCUUUCUCCUGCCAAUCUCCAUGGGUUGCUAAAAGCAAGACUAUCCAUGCAUGUUUCUUCUCUUAACACUGAAUCCAGAUGGUCCUUUUGUUUUUUUGUUUUUUUUUUUUUUUGAAAAAUGUAAUUUUGUGAUGGCACCUGAAUGUCCAUUACGCUACGCCAUUGUUAAAAACAUCAAGAUUAGAUGUGAAAGUAAAUGUGAGACAUUAUUAUGAGCCAAAAUAUCAGGUCUAUUACGAGUUACAAUUAAUGAGGAGGACUGAACUAAUUAUUUAAGUGUUUUUCAUCGUUGUCUUGCAAGUAAAAGUUGCCAAAUAUUAGAAAACACAUUUUGCUGGAGAUAGACGGAAACAAUAUUGUCGGGAACUAUGGACAAAGAGCAAUAUCACCACGUGGGUGCGCUUUAAUAUUUUUAUUUUUUUUAAAUAAUAUAUAUUUUCUAUUAUUGGCUACUAGGAUUUUUUCGGCCCACUUUGUCAUUUGAAUUUAACAAUUAGGUCUAUUUUAAUUUUUGAACAUGAAAAUUUUAAAAGUUUGAUGAUGUGACAUGAUCAUAUAUAUUACUUGAAAAUUAAAAAAAAUUAUAUAAAUUUUCAGGUGAUGAUAUGAUACAAUCUCACAGUAUUGCAUUCAGUGUUUUAAUAAUCGGACCAAUGGUUAAAAGAUCAAACCAUUGAUUUCUUAUUCAAUCGGUUCGACUACUAGACCAAUAAUAAUUAAUUAAUUAAUUAAAAAUUCCUAAAAAUCUAAAAAUAAUUUUAAAAUAAUUUUUUAAAUUGUCGAUUUUUAACUAAUUCCCGAUUCAAUCAAUUCAACCCCUUUGUUUGGACCGUUAUACCAAUCGCUUUUCAGUCUAAUUAAUUUGACCGAAUGAUUUGAUUUUGCUUCAAUAACACCGAUCACAUCUUCAAAAAUUGAUAGAAUUCAAGUUCAGUGACCACUUGAAUUUACUUGCCAAGCUUAGUUAUAAAAUUGGACAAAAAUAAUACAAUAUUAAAGUGCAUCUAAUUGCCAAGUUGAGGGCCAAAAAUUAUAUUAUCUAUACUAUUAUUUAAGUCUCUAACUGAAUUGGUGUCACGAGUCAACCGAACACCAAUUCAGUUAGAGAAAUUACGAAAAUAUUCUUCCAUAAUUAGAAUAAGUUAUAUUGUUCGAGGGUAGUUUAAUCUUUUUAUUUUAAAAAAAUAAUUAAAAAUGAAUAUGAGGGGAUUUGAACCUAUAACAAUCACAAUAAUAAAACUUCAAGUUUAUCACCAUCAAAACAUUAUUUUAAUAUUGUUUAUGUACUUUUAUUUUAAUAUGCAUAUUUUAUUAUAUUCAUCAAUUGUAUCUAUAAUUAUUGUCGAAACUUUUUUUUUUGAAAUUGACUUUAUUUUGAAAACGAAGAUGGAGUUGCCAUCAACAUUUUUUACUUAGGUGUGAUUGGAUCACCUCAAAACUCAGCCAUUUUAAUAAAACGUUUGAUUUGUUAAAACGAUAAUAUCCAGUCUUACAAAUCUGGAAAAAAAGGGUUCAGGAGUCAGUUACGUAUGAGGAAGGAUUACCACUCUCAUAACGCCCAAAAUUGGUACCUAGUUGAUUACUUGAUGUUUUGAUGUCGGAAGUUGAAAAUUCGAAGAGAAAUUAAACUAUGAUCCCUCUCUGUUUGCAUGAUGUUCUUUAAAACCAAUUAGCUAAAUUAAAUUUUACGAAAAGGCAUUAUUAUGAGUUAGUUGAGGAGAAAAGAUCGUAACCCUUGAGUUAAGACACGAUGCUUGGAAUCCUCGGAAACCAGAACAAUCACCAUUUGAUCUUAUUUUAAGUCUUGUUUUUAUUUUUUUAGAAAAAUAAAUAAAUAAAUAAAUAAAAUGGAUAUUCGAUUACUUUGGUUUUAGAAAGAUGUCAUACUCCGUAAGUUAAGAGCACAACUCUUCGAAUCCAAAAAAUAAUGAACAUUGCCUUGAUUUUAAAAAUUUAUUAUGUAUUACGUAAAACGAAUGUAACUUUUAAAACGAUAUACAUUUAUUUGGGCAAAGUAAAAAAUGAUAAAUACAUUGUGAUAUGACCCAUGGAAUAGUGAUAGCAAAAUAAAAUGAAAUAGUCAUGUAGGUAAAAAAAAGAAAUGACGAUAUUAGGAUAAUAAUCAAAAAAAAUUAAAUAAAAUGAAAUAAAAUAAAUGAGAAAAUUAAAAAUUAAAAAUAAAAUAAAAGAAACAUGUUGGUAAAUAAUAAUAAUGCAACUAUAAUAGUAAUAAGAAUAUCGAUUUAUAAUAAUAAUAGUGAUAAUCAUAUCGUAACUAUUAUCAUAAUAACAGGAGUAAAUAAAAUAAUAAUAACUAUGAUAAGAUAAAAAUAAAAUGUGUAAAUAAAAGAAAAUAUAAAUAACAUAAAUGUUAAAUACUAAAAUAAAUAAUAUAGUAAAUAAAGAGGCAAAAUUAACCAAAUAAGGGAUUAAAUCUAAAUUUAAGAGAAACUUGAAGCAUAAAUCGCAAAAUAAAUAAAGAAAACGGAAUAAAGAACUAAAUUUAAAAUAUAACAAAACUAACAUUCUAAAUUAUAAAGAAAAAGAAUUUGAAGGAUUAAAUUAAAAUAAGAUAAAAAUUAGGGGGUUAUAUGGAAAUUAUCCCCCAUAUAUAGACACGUGUCACUCCCCCAAUGGGUUUAUAGUGGGUCAGGGAACUAAAUUGCACAAGGAUUUAAAUUAUGGGGCGAAAAUUAAAACGAAUAAAAAUCGAUAGGACUAAAUUGAAAAUUACAAAAAAUUGGAAGGGCCAAAGAAGGAAUUAGACCCCCCAUAAAAAGCGCGGAUCCUGAGGGGGUCGGGUCGGGUCGGCGAAUCUGGACCAAAACGACGCUGUUUUGGUUUUAUGGAACCAGGCCAAAACGACGCCGUUUCAAUACUCUAUUUAAGUUAAAAUUUUCCCAAAAAAUUCAUUUUUCAUUUGUUUUUUUUUUUAAAAAACCCCUCCCUUUUUUUUUCUCUAGAUGUUUUUUGUUAGGCAGGCUAUGUGGACGGCGGACCUCCGUCGUGGCCGCCGGUCGUCGGCGACGGUGACCGCCGUUUCUGGUGGACGAAAAAUCACAAGUUAAUAAAAAUCAAUAAAAAUAUAUUUAUAGUGGGUUUGAACCCAAUAUUGAUUAUAACACCAUGAUAAACAAACUUUAUGUUGUUGAGGUUGGAUGAUGCAUUAUGGUGUUUUGUGCCUUUUAUGGGCCUACUGAUUGGUUGAGGCUGUUAUUUUAUUGAAUAUGGCUUCUGUCUUUUUUUGUAUGUUGUGAUUAUAGAAUUGAAUUUGAGUCUAUUCAUUGUGUUAUGGUUGAAGGUGUCUCUCGAAGUGGAUGCUUUGGUGAUUUUAAAGUAUGGUUAUCGUCAGUCUUAAGAGCUACAGUGGGGUGGUUUGAAAGUUUUAUGGGAGCCGAUAUGACAUUGAGUUUCCUUUGCUAUCGGUUCCAUUGAGAUUUUUUCUAGGCUGUUGGUCUUGAUAAGGUGUUGCUGGUGUUGGCUCUGUUUUAGGUUUCUUAUCUGCUGAUAACUGAUGGUGUCUAAAGCUUUUUCAAGGUUUGAUGGAUCGUUUUCUUACUUGGGGUGAGGCCCAAUGCUUGCUCGUUGAUUUAUGUAAAGUUUUUUUUUUUAAGCAAGGGCGAUCACUAUAGUUAGUUGCUUGGUUCUGGAUUAUGGGUGGAGCUGCUGUUGGUCAUAGUUUCUGAUAUGGUGUUUGCCAUGUUGAGAAGGGUUUCGUAGUAGUGCUUGUUUCAGAUAUAACUUGCUCUCUCGCUUCUUGUUUUCUGCUCCGGGCUAUGGUUUUCUGGCAUUGGUAAAGUGUGCUUUUCUUGUGGUGAUGUCAUAUUGGUGUAUGUUAAUUGUGCAGUUCAGCAGAUUUUGUAAUUGCUCUUGCAAGGACUUGUAUCAUCCACUGUUAAGUGGUUGCCUCUUUUAAUAAAUUUAUUAUCUUAUUUCGAGUUCAAAAACUUAUUUCUGAAUAAGAAUUUUACGGGAAUUACGAGUUUCAUACUUUGAUUCAAGUUUAAAUCAUAUUUAGUUCGAUUUAAUAUUUAAUUUUGAUUAUAUAUAAUCACAUUAAUGUAUUUAUGAAAUUUUAUAUUUUAGGAAUUUAUUUCGACUUUAUUCAUAUUUUAGCUCUUAAACUAUACUCGUUUUCUCACAUUUAUGUUUAAAUUUUUUUUACUCGGAACUUUCUUCUAGUUAAUAUUUUUAGUCUAGAAGCCAAUUAGAUUUAACCAUGUGUUUCAUAUUUUCCAGGUGUGUAUGAUAAUUUUUUUAAUAAAAAAUGAAAUUAUUUAAUUCAAUAAUAUUAUUUCGUUUUACUUAUUUCUACUUUAUUUUCAUUUUUAAUUAAUUUCGGUUGUUUAUUUAUUUUUCAGAUUUAACCCCUCUUAUUUUUUGUACAGGUUCGCACAAGUCAUGGGCACAAAAACUACUUGGGACACGUUCUAGUUAUAAAGAAUAUAGAUUUGGAUAGAUUAACUUUUGUGAGAUCGAUUCAACUCUCUAUACUAUAAAUUUAAUUUCAGUAUCAGGCAGAAAAAUUUAUUUUUAGUAGAUUUGACACCAAUCAAGGAGAACAUAUCUACAUCUAUUAUGCUUUGCCCAAAGUUUAAACAAGCCUUAGUAUAACCAGUAGUUUAAGAAAAACCAAUCCAUUAAUAAACAUGAAAUUGGAUGUACAAAAUCUUCAAAAAGAUACAAGCAAAUAAUCAAAAAUAUUUAUUUUAAACAAGCUAACAAAUAAGGGACACGUGCCAAGUGCAGUUGUCAUUUUUCAAGUCACUGCUCCCAAAACUUGCCUCAACAUAUUCUUCUUUAUUGAUUGCGUUUUACCACCUUGGAAAUCAGUAGCUAUUUGAAUUUCAUUUUGUAUAAAGGUGGGUAUAGCUUAGGAUAGGGAAGGGGAUGCAAAUGCUGGAACCUUAAACAUAUUAAAUGUCAUCUCUUAAACCUAAAAUACAUGAACCACGUUAAACCCUUAGUUCUUAACAGCUAUGUACUUCAAGCAUUAUGAUGCAGUGGUUCAAGUAUCACCUGAAUUUCAUGUUGUGGUCUAAUGCUGAGAAUAGAUAUCGGAGAGUGGAUAUAGGCAGGGGAGAGGGUAAUGGUGUAACGUUGUAGAAUCAUGGAGAGAACAAUCUUGGUUUCUAUUGUUGCAAAUGUCAUACCAACACAAGAUCGAGGUCCCAACCCGAAGGGAAGAAAUGCAGCCGCGGUGUAAUUGGUAGCUUUGGCAAUCCCUUCAGCGAAUCUCUC
Molecule: long non-coding RNA, 45087 nt
Filed under: Gossypium barbadense (sea-island cotton)
Lineage: Eukaryota; Viridiplantae; Streptophyta; Magnoliopsida; Malvales; Malvaceae
Description: long non-coding RNA (GBAR_LNC013902)
Source: RNAcentral